RNAcentral lists this long non-coding RNA (71522 nucleotides) under Triticum aestivum (bread wheat). RNAcentral's name for it is "long non-coding RNA (TAES_LNC022406)". Lineage: Eukaryota; Viridiplantae; Streptophyta; Magnoliopsida; Poales; Poaceae. The record is from RNAcentral.
GCCGCUUCUCGUGAUCCCCUCUUCCGUCAGCUCCACUUCACCGGAACCGUAAGUCCAUAUGAGUAUGCGUAACCGACCACCACCAUCCUCCCCGCUCCCUCCCCUCCCCCAACCCGAUAUAGAUGCCUAACCCGCAGGAACGGGCAGGCGGCCGGCGGGCGACGCGAGGCGCGGUGGCGGCGCGAGGAAGACGGGCAGAUCCGGGCACGGUGUCGAUCGAUCUGGCGGCUGGUGUGGCGGCUUGUUCCAGUGCCAGCGGCGUCCUGCUCAUCCAGAGAAGGAGAGAGAAGGGCCUGAGGGAGAGAGGAAACAGAGGAAGAAAGAAGAAGGAGAAGGGACGCACGCAGGGUGAGAGAGGCAGUUGCCGGCGAUGACGGCUCCGGUGACUGGCCGACGGGCUUGCUAGGCAAGGCUAAGGAGUACGCUAGCCUGAGAUUCGAUAGAGGUGUGUUUGAUUUUUAUAUUUGGGUUGAACAGCCAGUUUGCUGUGUUUGACAUGUCGUGCCUGAGAUUUUGUUCUGGAACAUGCUGCUUUAGUUGGUAAAAUCAUUCUUGGGUAGAUUUAUCCGAUGUACUGAAGUAUCAUCCUAUGGAGUGCAUGAAUUGAAUGAAUUUUUGAAUUUUGAGCAGUAUGAUGUCAUGGUAUUUGAUUAGGUUCUUCUGCGAAUCCGCACCAAAACCAUCCUUGUAAUUUGUUGUUCCCUCUCUCUUAUCUGUGGUGCAUCUAGCUUUGGCCCAGUCCUAAAAAGAUUGAUCUCAUUGUUGUGAAUUUUGCACCACAGGGAAGAAGUUGUGGUGGCGGAGAAUUAUACAGCCAUUGUCUCUCACGACUGCCGGCCCCUGCUCGCGACGUCUCUACUGGAGCCGCCUCUGCCUACUCUGGUGUGUUGCAGCUCCUUACUCUAGCCACAUGCCGCUUGCUUUCCUGCUAGCCUCUGCCUCCUCUGGUCUCGAAGUUGAUGAGACCCUGAUGCAAAGCGUCCAUGCAAAGCUCCCACAAUCAUCCGCUCCAUCUCAGCGUAAGAAUCAUGCUCGCACGUUACCUGUCAACUAUAUUAGUUCAUUGCGUAUGUGUGUAGCCAUGCUUUAGUUUUAGUAAUUGUUUGAUAUUACAGUUUGGUUACCCUUUUCUGCUUUGUUAGAAAAAACAUGUCCAGCUACAGAAAAGGAGUUUGUAUCCAGCUUGACCUCCAUAGCAGGAAGAUUUUAGUAAUCAUUCUAUCAAUGUUCUAUUAAUGGACAGAGGAGGAGAGCAAUGGAAAUAACACCCCGUCGCGGUCCUGGUGCUUCUCUCCGUGGGCUCGCUUGCUCACCUCGGCGUUUGCGGCUUCUACAGGUACGUACUAGACGACUACCAUUGUUUUUGUUUUCUAUUGACAGUUUGAUCGCUCCAUCAAUCCUUCUAGAGGGUCUUGACAGGAAGGACUGAGCAGCCACUGUGCUGGAGUAGACUGUGUGACAGGUUUUUACCUCUCUCUCCUACCCGUGAUUGGUUUCUUUGGUGAAGAAAGCAUCACCAUCUUUCAAUACAUACUAGAUGCUUGUAUGUCUACAUGGUACAAGAAUGAAGAUUAACCAUUAAAUAUCUUGAUUCAGAGUGAGACAAGGGUGAAACAGAAUAACCUCAUUUUGUGGUGAGUUCUCCUAAAGAUUUUAAUGAGCAGACAUCGGUUGAUGAUAGAGGCUUUGUUAAGCUUGUUUUGAUCCAAAUCCAAUAAUAAAAUUUGAUCAAUUCCUCUAUAAUCUACGGAAGUUGCAUAUAUUUGUCAGGAAUAAUCAGCUUGAUUGAUAAUUUAUAUUUUUCAUUUUGCAGUUUGUAUCUGGUGAAACUUUAUAGGCCAGUUAACAUACAUAUAGAAAUAGUGUCAUUUUCCUUUUAAAAAAAGAUUAGCGUUGCAUGUUGAUAGUAGCAUUGGCCAAUAAUUUCACACCGAAAAGAAUCUAAGAUGAGACAGAAGCAGAUGGACUGCAAGCUAUAACUGAGUAGUGCACAACGACAGAUAAACUAACGAAUACAAACUCUUAUUUAUUUUGUAAGUGUUGCAACACAUGGGCUUGUAAUUCAUGGUUCGUACAACGGCCGUAGCAACACAUGGUCAUAUUUUUAUCAAAAACUGUGGCUGCAAAACCAGGGUUCAAAAUGAACAUCCAUUCCAUUGAAUCGUGGGUACAACAUGAGGCAUCUGUCUCUGAUGUGUUGUUACUUUGGUAGAUAAUAUGUACUGUGCGUGCGUGCAUGUGUUGAUAAGUAGCAGAUUUGCUUGGCCGCCUGUGACACUCAUGUCAAAUCCUUGACAUUUCUGGGGUUAUACAAGCAUCAUGUUUUCUAAGGUUUUGUUUUCCCGGCAUCCAUCUCUUCCAUGGCAAGCAGCACAAGUUUAUUUGUUUGUAAAUUAAGCAGUCUGGUAGAUUUGGAAAGGAGGAACAGGGUACUGAACUUCUAUAUAUAUCUGCAUAAGGUACAUCCCAGUUAAGCAGAUUUGUUUUUAUGUUCUGAACAGGGUACUGAACUUGGUAAUUUUACCUUUCUGUUAUGAAUUGCAGAUUUGCAAGAAUAUUAUGUUAUGUAAGAACAUGGCGGUGCAAUCACCCGAGGUGAAGAAGCUCCGUCACCUACCUCUACCUCCUCCACUAGGCUGACAAGCACAACUGCUGACAACUGAUAAGUAUGCUAAUCCACCCUCAUCUGCAUCGCCUCCUCCCAGCCCGUGGUUUAUUACUUGGAGCAUGUUGUUCUUUUAUCAUAUACACAAAUCUGUCCAUGCUUAAAUGUGGUCAUUAGAUUGUGGAACAGGAGAAACAAUAUAGUGUUAUUUAGCAGAUGCGAACCUGUCCAUGCUUGAUUUGGACCAAGAAUUACUGGUGUUGCCUAUUUGGUAUGUAAACAUAUUUUUUUGGAUGUCACAGAAAAUUACCAUGCUACUACAUAGGUUUGAAUCAAACAAAUUAAAUUUGGAAUAGGAUCCCUGAAAGUAAUAAAGCGCUUCUUGAAUGCAUGGAAACAAAAGUUAGAUAUCUCAGAGGUACUAUGUCAUAUAUUCUGAAAGUGGCGCACAUGGAUAUGUAUAUUCUUGUUUAGCUUUAUGUUCUAUUUCUGUUGUACAUUCUAUUUCUGUUGUACAUGCUCCAAAAGUAAAUGUGUUAUUCUGAAAGGAGAUGAAGUGAAUUGUCUUCUACUGCAACCAAUGGACAUUUCAUUCUACACAUAUGUCCUGAUAUUGUAGUGCCACUUGAUUUCCUUCAAAAUUUCAGUACCAAUUGAGCAAUAUUGGGCUUUCCUUUUUCCUAUAUUAAGUAGUGAUCAUGGAGUCAAAGCUCAUGGAGAUGGUCUGUUACUGAUUGUUGCACCUAUAGAGCUCAGUAAUAUAACAUUUGCUAGUUCAUCUAACUUAUUUGAUCUAUAUGUUGUUUUUUACCUGCAACACGAAGAGAAACACAAGCUCGAUUAGUUCAUAAAUUUUAAAAUUGUACAUUUUGUAUAACUAGUUUGCUGCCCGUGCGUUGCCACGGAAAAAUAAAGCCCCUUUGACUCAUAUAGGAUAUGAUUAUUUUAGAAAUAUAGUAAAAUUAUAGGAAAUAAGAUGUCAUGUAUCUCAAAUACUAUAGGAAAAGACAUCAUUUGGGAAUGGCUAAGAGUCAAUCGACAGGAAUUUUGAUUUGGGCUAGUCAAUUUGGCCUCGAUCAGUUACAAGCGUUAGAUAAAAAACGAACGGCCCAAAUUAUGUCUUCUUCCUCCAAACGUUUUACAGAUCACAUCGCUGCAGCGUCCGUCUUCUUCUUCUUCCUCCCGCCGCCUACUACCACCAGCCAGGCCGCCUGCUGCCGCCGCCCAUGGCUUGCGGCGCUCUCAUGGCCGCCUCGCCACAUCGUCCUCCCCUCAACCUCCCACACCGCCGGUCUUGCCGCCUUCCCCAACCAUCCCUUAGCCCCGGGCCUCACCGGUUUUUUCUCCGGCGAACUUGCACCACAGCCCCCACCCCCACCCUAAGAUAGAUCAUGGGGAAGCUUCUCCGGCUAGCCCCCCGCUACGGCUGUUUCUUCCUUCCCUCCGGUGCCUCCUUCCUUCUAGCAAAAAUCCACUGACCAUUCAGGCGACUGAUGUUUAGCUAUUGUGAUGUUUCUUUUCAUCAAGUCUUAAGUAAUAUAUUUUUGUCUCUUGAAAUGUGAAGGAUAGAAACCAAUCCGAAUAGGCCCUCAUUUUCCUAGUUUGCUUCACACUCUUAUGCAAAAGAAAUGAUACCCAAUUCAACUUCAACUCAAAUAUACCACACAUAAUAAGGCAUGCUUUUUUCCCGUCUAUACAUGGUUUUGCUUUCUACUUGGCUCCACCCCACAUUGGAAAUCUUCACCUCCCUCUCCCUCUCCCUCUCUUUCUCGUCGUUGCCUGGCCCUGCUCUACUUCACCAAAAAAAUAGAGAACACAAAUAUUGUUUUUGUUGUAGCCACACAUAGACGCCAGGGAGUGUUUUCGGCAGCGUGCAUGCAUGACCUUAUUAUCUUGCUAUUCAUCUUAAUAGACAAGUCAAUCACAUUCACAUGAGACGUGAGGAGCUUUUUUCAUACAUCAUGAUCAAGAAUAUUGUUUAUUUCUAUCAAUCUUCAAUAAAACAUGGACAUAGCAAAAAGAGAGGAUACAUGCAUUUGUUUCCUUAACUUAGGAUGAUGAUUAAAAUAUCAAGGAUAAUCGUGUCUACCAAUCCACUAUCUAAUUCUAAUCCUAGACACAUAUAUAUCAUUGCAUCUUCUGAAAAUCAUCCCAAUCUUUUGUACAACACAAUGUUCAAGGCACACUGCAAUAGCACAUACAUAACUGAUAAUUUAUCAAAUUUAGAAGAAAAAAAGACUUCCAUUACCUGGGUGUCACUUUCGUUUUCAUGAUCUAAGGCAUAACCAUUGGAAGCAAAUCCUGCAGUUCUAUGUUCCCAAGCAGAAGAGCAUUUGUGAAGCACACCUUCACACGCAUGACAAUAUCAAUCACCCCCCUCGAGUUUAGACCUGUCACAUAUGCACAGACCAAAAUAAAUAAAGACUUCCGCAGAGACACAUAACAUUAUCCAAUAGCUAAUACUUCUGAAAGUGAGCAACUUUUUUGAGAACUGGAAUUUGCGGAAAUUUGCUCUCUUGAUGGCCUAAUCAAGACGUACAAUAUGGUUGCUUGUGAUUUGUAUAUUUCCAGCCGCUGGCAAAAACCUAGGAGUUGGAUAAAGGUUCCAUAAGUUUCAGUUGUAUCUUUUUUCUUUAGCGGGAAAACAUUCAGGCAUACCCACCAUUCACAUGCAUACAUUUUUUAUUUUUUUAGAACAAACAGCAUGUAAGUCAAUCAGGAAAACUAUCUCUGUAAAUUAUGCACAAACCAGCUGCCGUAAAGAGUUUUAAAAAUCUAAUGCAACAUAGAUCUGUGUAUACUAUCCUAAACUAAUGGUUAGUAUAAGCAGAGGCAAAGCUUUUGCCCUUUUUCACACGAACCAUGAAUGCAUUUUCUACCACAUCUGACGUUGCUACAUCACAUAAUCGAAAAAAUCUUGAAAGUGUCAUAUUCUACAAGUCUACCUGCCAGAAGUGAACUCAAACUGGAUGGUUAAAAAAAAUGGCCACUAAUAACUUACACAUCACAUGGAAAUUAAUCAACUCACUUUUUGAGAUUUACUUGACAUAUCGUGAUGGAGACCUUGGAAUAUUAUGUGCAGAUUUUGAGGUUAUGUUCCAUGCACAAGAGAUGGGAUAGAUAACACAACUAAGCAAACAAGUAACGAACUAUUCUAAGUGUCCAGUUUAAGAAGAUUAUCUCCUGCUCAUAUAAACCAUUCGACUAACAAAAUCGAGUCAUGUGUGAAAUUUAUUCCGCCAAGCACAAAUAUUUUAUGAUGAAUUAGACACCAAAUAUUUACUUAUUUGAUUAGGGGGCUACCUCUAGAAAUAGCAGCACAUGAGUAUAGAGUAUAUGACUACAUAUGCCAAUUCUGAAGAAAUUGAGCUGUUGUGUAUGACCAACGUUGCAUGUGUUCGCCACGACUCGGUGGUCACCACGCCGGAAAUGACCCUCACCUUGACAUCUAUCUGCAGGCAAUCAACAUGGUGGGUAGUGGUUAGUGGCAACAACUGAACUGACGGUCAGAUCGCAGCAGCUAGCAGAAUGGUCAGUUACCUUGGUGGAACCAUACAGGUCAUGGAGCCAAAAACAUAUGAAGCAAGAUAGAUAAAAUUCAGACUGGCGACCAAUCCAUCUUCAGUUCCUGGCUUUACGACUAAAAUCAGCACAUCGGUCUGUGAGCUGUUCAACCUAGCUAGCCCGGUGAACCUGAAUGACAAUAAAGUUACCUCAAUACUUUGAUCCAGAUUGAAGAAGGCUGUACAGACCCUCUCUACAGAAACAUGUGCUAUUGAAGAAUAAUAUGUCAUUGACGAUCAUGUAUUCCUAAUUUCCUAUACACUUCCGAUGCCCGUUGCAACUUCUCAUACAUAAGGAACAUAUGGUGCUCAGUGCUAUAGGAAGGAAAUAUUGGUGCAGAUGGCAUGAAUACAGCAUCAUACAAACAGCUAAGUAUGAAAACCACCUUGUUGAUCAUGGCGCCGCCGAAGACCUGGAGCUGCCGCUUGAGAACACCCUGCUCAUCUCCCGUCCUACGAAGAAGCAGAGGUCAGGGAGGCGCAGUACAGCACCGAGGGCAGCCAUCGGUGAUGGGAGGACCCUGGAGCCUGGUGUACUGAAAGCAGUAGCGUCGGCGUCCUCGUCGUUGGCGGCGGCGUCGUCCAGGAAAUUGCCACAUCUUCUAGGUCGAUCCCUCAAUCGGCGAUGCGAUGCGGCGUUCACUUGAGUGGAAUGGGGGCGUGCACUUCUCCGCCUACAGCUCGCCGUGGAAGCCUUGGGCUGCUGGUAGCGCCAGAAAUAUGGUGCCCGGAGAGGCUGUGCCGCACCGGGGCGGCAGCGUGAGUGAGGCAUUGAGCCCGUGCGCCGCUGGGGCACCGCCGCACCAGGACGCCGACCGGCAAGAGAGAAGGGGAAGAAGUCGACCUCCCAUGGAGAAUAGGGAGGCAGCCAGGCAGGGAUGGGCGCGGACGGCGAGGACAAGGGAGCUCGCCGUCAACCAGGAAGACGGCGAUGGCGGCCAACCAUACUUUGUCCAGCAAGAAAGCCGCGGGUGACGACGGGUAGUCAAGACGGCGGCGGGUCGUAGGACGUGCGGGGAGUCGUGGACUCGUGGGUGGAGGUUGACUGCGUGCGUGGAUGGUGGUUUCCGAUUUGUACUCGCUUUUUUUUUGGUUUUUUGUGCGUGAAAUUUUCAAUCGUGCGGGAGCGAGGGGUGAGACGAAGGGGGAGGAAACUGGUUGAACCAUCACGACGUUCGAUUCUCCUUUAAUAGUAGAGAUUUAUGCUGGUUCCAGUCACAACAUGCCAGCAUCUAAUCCUUGCAGCAACACCAGGACAAGACUUUGGAUAUUUUCCUAUACAUUUGACAUUAAAGUUAUACUAACUUGCAUCCAUCGAUCACUAGCUAUUACAUGCAGUAUGUAAUUAUGCGAUGUCAAUGGAACAUCCAAAACGUUUAAAUACGACCUCUUAUUCUACACAAUUGUUUAUGCUUUUACAAAUGACAAAGCAGAUAUAGAUUUUAAGAUAGUCUAUAAUUAUAAUAAAACAAAGGAUUGUUUUCUUGAAAGAAAAACGAGGGAUUGUUAAUAUGUUUAAAUAUGAGGAUUUUCAGUACUGUAGGUCCUUACCUCUUCUUUUCCAAAGUAGAGAGACAAAAAAAUCUGACCCCACUAAUCGGUACAUGCAGCAGUGAGGAACCAAGCAAAAGGGGAGCUUGGCUGCCAAUGGGGUGAUGGAAAGAUUGUAGGGGGUGCUUGCCACAUAUCUUCAAUUUGAGAAUAUUGAUUUCCCUUCUACAAUAUCAAUUAGUAAGCAUUUUCCAAACUGUACGGAAAACAUGUUCUGGAGUUAAUCUACUUUGCUUACUAUUCAUGCGAGAUGGCAGAAUACUUUGCUUAUUAUUCUCUUCAAUUAUUUCUAGAUUACAACGAUGCCAAUGUUCAGGAGUUAAUCUACUGCAAAAAAAAUGACACACCAUUGUCAAGUUGGAAGGAAUUCUGCCUGCUGUAUCUAUUUGUUUUUCUGCUUCUGGCAUAUCCACCGACUCUGUUAACACCAAACAAAGUAACAAACUUGACAAAACUGAAACUCAUCUCCCAGAUUUCUCUAUGCACCGCCAUAGAUUCCGAUUUGUCCAUUGUCUUUAUAACUUACAUUUUGUAUGUAUCUGAAAGCUAAUUCAGCAUGACCCACGAGUGUUGAUUUGUAUGUUAGUGUGAUACAUCUCACUGAAAAUAUUGACCGAAAAAAGGAAAAUAUAUAUUAGGUGUGUGUUAUAAGAAUCAGUAGUCCAUGCUGCCAUGCAACCAAUAUGUAGUCAGACUUUAAAACCAUUGUCAUGCAAAAAUUACCAUAACUUUUUGAGUACUUCGGUUAUCCAGGUUUUUAUAUAGAGGUUCCCUUUGUUGUAGGAUGUCUCCAUCUAUGGUCGAAAUUAUUUUAUUUCAAAGAAAUCCAGUAAAAGUGCUCUUUUCUACACUCCAGAAUUCUUUCUGACUGCUCCCCAAACUCAACCUCGGUCAUCAUUUCCUUCUAAUAAUAUUAAUUAAUGUCACCACUCAUAUAGUGUUUCAAAAUAUUGCUUCUUACCCGAAUUUAAGAAUGUAUUAGAAAACAACACCAACUCACGAUGUAUUAGAAGUGCUCUUUUCUACACUCCAGAAUUCUUUCUGACUGCUCCCUCAACUAAACCUCGGUCAUCAUUUCCUUCUAAUAAUAUUAAAUAAUGUCUCCAUUCAUAUAGUGUUUCAAAAUAUUGCUUCUUAUCCGAAUAUAAGAAUGUAUUAGAAGCAUUUAUCAGCUGUACAUAUCUUAAUACUUGACCUUCAGUGAGGACUCGUUUCUUAGGAGAAAUAGUUGGAGAGCAACAAUUGAUUGGUAAGUCUUGCUUGCUAUUAGUUGCAUAAUUAAUAUUGAAAUUCGUUUGUUUGCUUCAAGGUUACAAAGCCAGCAAUGAAUGAGACUAUCAUUAUUAGGAUUGAAGGAUGGUUCAAUGUUGUUGAUAGCAGUAAGAAACACUUGCAAAUGUAUGUCUCAUCUAUUUAAAUGUGUGCUCUAAAAAUAAAUGUACACAACUGUCACAAUAUUGUUUAGUACAAUAUUUGAAUUAGAAGUAGUAGUUUUAUGUUUUUGUUUAGUUUUAUAGUAUCUCAGUUAUGAAAUAAAUCCAAGCCUUCCUCCAAAUAGGUUUUUUUGCCUUGAUUUUUAUAAUUCAAAUAAUUUUUGUAUUUUAUAAUAUUCAAACAAAAUGGUUUGUAGAGUCAAUGUUCUCUGACUUAGGUAGCUUUAAUUUAAUGCACUAACGAAGCGUUUUACCUGAGACGAGUGCUGGGAGAGGCUGAUUAGGAUUGCAACAAGGGGGAGACGUCGAUGCUGUCGCUGGCGACCGUUACCGCGACCAUAGCUGUGGGAGUGAGGCGCCGGCGACCAUGGCAUCGACCGUGUUGGCCCAUGGUGUUUCAAAUUUUCCAUGCUCCGUUCCAGGUAGCUGCCAUUCCGAUUGAUCCCCUCCAGGUGAGUGAGCAGCUUACACUCAACCGAUGCAGGCAUCCAAAGGCUCGACUGGGUGGCUAGGAACUCAGCUGGGCUCACUUCCAUUUGCAUUCUUUUCUGCAACAUCGGAUACUCCGGAAAGUUCAUGCAUGUUUGUUUUCUGAUAUGGUUUUUCUCAUAAUGCAGGGCACAAAGAUAGGUCUCCUUUUAGUUACCAUAGAUUUUAGUUUUUUUCUGCUUACUGUCUUCUCCACUUUCUUGUCAGAUUAAGCAACUAACAAAUGAAUCUGUGCACAUUUAUACCAUUUUUGCACUCAUUUAUGGGUCCAUCUAUGUUGAGUAUGUGUGUUCUGCUAUUCUGCAACUUAAAUCAAUAGGUAGUGAGAAGAUGCGAUAGUUUGAACCUCCUCCACUUCUUCUGUACAAGAUUGGUCAUUUUCCAAAGGGAUGGAAGUAGCUGUUUAGAGGAUCCACUCACAUGAGGUACACCUCAUAAUUUUAAUGUGAACUUAAAUAUUUUGUAUAGCUAUCCAAAAUCUGUGGAUGAACUGGGUCUUGUGUUGCUUAAAGAGUUUGAGCUUGGACUAAUGUUAGUAUUCUUUGUCACAUUGAACCCGGUAUAUCAAAUGGUUAUAUGGUAGAUUACAGAACAACAUCAACACAGGCAACAUUGAUUAGGUUGGUGUGCAUAAGAUGGUCCUCAGUGAGGAAGUCCAUAACAGCCUGCUAAUCCUAGGCAUCAAGGCCGAUCGAAUCCGAUCACGACAAUCUCAUUGUGUGUUAGCUAAGGCAAGAGUUCCGCACUUGCUCCACUUCCACCAUUGCCACUAUUUGCCGCCGGCGCUUGAUGCAGCGGAGUGUGUAAAAGGAGAAUGUGAAUAAGGAAGUGUGCACGGGAGUAGUCCGUACCUUUUUAUCACAGCGAGGGAGUUAACCCACACUAGCUCCACAAUCUGCUGACCAGCGGUUGCCUGGUUCGAGCCGAUCAACAAUUUCCAUUGAGAGCAAGGUGGUGCAGGGCACCUCGUGGAUGACCCUGUGUAUGCUUCAUAACCAAAACAUAGUCUUCUUUUGGUUAUCUGAUUUUCUUUCAUAUUUGUCCCAAUAAAAUUUGGCCCUGUGGUAACUCACAGGCACAUACCUCGACUAUAAUUAUUUCAAAAAAAGAGACAAAAUAUCGCAUAAUAUAUAAAUCAUUUCAUAUAUCAUGGCAGCAAAACCAAAUUGUGGUGGUCGCCCUCAGCUACGACAUUGUGCGUUUCUUAGAACUGGGAAUCGUCUGAUUCAGUGUGGAGGAGAGGAGGGGCGAACGACGCCAUGCAGGGAAGGAGAGAGUAGUGAGAGGAAGUUGCGAUCUGAAUGAUGUGGUGCAAGGGGGCAGGCGCAGUGAGAUACCGUGGAGGGGAGACAUGACAGCGAUGAUGAUGUGGCGAGGAGAGCCUGAUGGGGUAAUGAGGUAUGAGUGUGAGCGUUGUGCCAAUGACAGUCAUCCUACUUUUUUAAGAUGAGAAGAAAAGGAGUGGUUGUUGCUUUUUGUGAGGGAAAAUUGAUUGCUUGCCGUUAGAGAAAUGUCACAUACUUUUUUAUAUAGUGAAAAAUAUCACAUACCCUAGGAAGUCAUUUCUGGAGAAUAAUUACCCACAAGUGAUUUAUAGGUGAGUCUACAAGCAUGAUGCCUCACUUUGAGUAAAAACGGUCACAUGCUCGAAGAAAGCAUCUUACCAAUGAAUAUAUACUCUCUCUGUUCAUAAAUAUAAGUCUUGUAAGAGAUUUUAAUAUAGACUACAUACGGAGCAAAAAUGAGUGAAUCUACGCUUUAAAAUACUUCUUUAUUCAUCCGUAUGUAGUAGUUAAUAUUCAAAUAUCUAAAAAGACUUACAUUGGAAUGGAGGAAGUAUUAUAUAUGGGCUUAUCUUAGUUUUAUUUUAUUUUAGUAUGUGUUUAUAUACUCACUUUUGGAGAAUAGAGAUAACAACUGAUGGUUUCCAAUGAUGGUUUGAAAAAUGUCCAUUGACAAAGCUUUAUGAUAGAUGGACUGAAAACUUGAGUGUUACCCAAUUGAAAGAGAUGCAUACAAAUAAUUAUUCUUUUUUAUAUAUUGUUGCACAUGAUAAUACAAAAGGUGUCUCCCCUUCUUAUUUUUAUAUAUGUCUAUUUUUUGCAGGGUAUGAAAGAGAUAAAGAUGUAUUAUGUUGAUGUUCAAAAGGAAUCCGUUCGACAAGAAUGUUGACGCGAUGUUGUUGGAAGGGACCAAAAAUCAUUGAGUUAUAUAUAAUAAUACAUGUAUAUGUACAAUCAGAACAAAAAUUAAAAGGCCUGUGGCAACGCACGGGCAUUGUACUAGUACGUACAAGACGAGAGAACAUACACGUACACGUACAUGCUGCCGCCGUGUCCGAUCCUCUUGGAAACCCUAUCCCGAGUCUUCCCCUUCCCCAAGCAAGUUGUCCUAUAAGUACCCCUGCCCCUCCUCUCUCGAUCCCCUUCAAAAGCCCUCGCUAAAACCCACCGUAGCGCCUGCAGUCGUCAAACCGAUCUCGCUUCGGUUGCCGCCGUUCACCGUCGUUUCCAUCGUCGGUGAGCCUCCUCGAGACCCCUCCCUCUGUUCUUGGGUUCCCCUCACCAUUGCGCCCCUCAGGUUUGACCGGAGCCACCGCCUCAAGCUCGCAACACCGCCGGAGUUCAUCCAGAGCACGGAAGUUUAUGCCGAUGCCCGCUCGACUCCGAGUCUCCUUGCCUCACUAUCCGCAGAAAAUCGGACCCCUCGGAGUUCUGCAUCCACUGGACAUCGCCGUCUCCGCCGCCGGUCACCGGAGCCACCAUCCCGCCGGCGCCCUGCUUCUCUGCCACCGCCGUUUCCUCUCUGUAAGUCACAUACGUGUUAGCUCCUUCAUUUUUUUAUUAUUCAAAGUGUUAAGUGCUAGAUCGGUUUUAGUAGAUCGGUUCUUUAGAUCAAUUGGUUUGGUUUAGUACACGGUUUAUUAGGUUUAGAUCGAACCGGCUUGCCGGUUUUCUGUUUUAAACAUACGUGCACGUUUCUGUAAAGUUCCGGCCGAGCGACGGUUAGUUACAGAUCGCUCAGCUCCUAGCCCAGUAGACUUGCCCGUUCUGUUUUUUUUUUAUUUUCGUUUCUAUAAAAAACAGAAAAGUUUCAACCUUAGAUAUUCUAUAACUUUUAUGUUUUAGAUCCAAAUUGAGUGAUUCUUUCUGCCUUGUGUCACAAAUUUGUUGAAGUUUCUGCUUGUGUACUUAGUUUUCAAAUUUGAGUAGUUCAAAUUUGAGUUUGAUGAAAUUUGUUCAAAUCACUAUUUUGGCCGUAUCUUGAGUUUUAUAAAAUAUUUUUGAUUGAUUCUUUUUGCUACUGUUUUGUUAUUGUUUGGUUUAUCCAGUAGCNNNNNNNNNNNNNNNNNNNNNNNNNNNNNNNNNNNNNNNNNNNNNNNNNNNNNNNNNNNNNNNNNNNNNNNNNNNNNNNNNNNNNNNNNNNNNNNNNNNNNNNNNNNNNNNNNNNNNNNNNNNNNNNNNNNNNNNNNNNNNNNNNNNNNNNNNNNNNNNNNNNNNNNNNNNNNNNNNNNNNNNNNNNNNNNNNNNNNNNNNNNNNNNNNNNNNNNNNNNNNNNNNNNNNNNNNNNNNNNNNNNNNNNNNNNNNNNNNNNNNNNNNNNNNNNNNNNNNNNNNNNNNNNNNNNNNNNNNNNNNNNNNNNNNNNNNNNNNNNNNNNNNNNNNNNNNNNNNNNNNNNNNNNNNNNNNNNNNNNNNNNNNNNNNNNNNNNNNNNNNNNNNNAUUUCAGUUCUAGUUUCGUUUUAGCUUUUUCUUUAUAUUUUUAAUUGUUUUUAAAUUAUUUCUUUUUGUCACUUUUGACAAUUUUACUUUUCUUUCUGCUAAGUCAACAAAAUAAAAUUUUAUUUUAUUAUUUUACAAAUUUAUUUUAUUUAGUUUUGUAUGAAAACUUGUAAAGGUCAUAGUUAGAGUUUCAUAAAAGCUUCUAAUUUGUUUCUAUUUUUGCAAAUAAAAUUUAAUGAAAAAUACUUUACGUUAACUUAGUUGUUUUACUUUUUUAUUUUCUAUUAAUUUAUUAAUUCAGUGUUUUAAUUGUUGUUAAGUUUUUACUUAGGACAAAACUAUUUUGUGUUAUGUCUUAGAGUUUUCUUUAGUAGUUUUGUUGUGUAGUUUUCCUUUGUUUUAUUUGGUGUCCCUUGUUCUUUUGCAUUUCAUUUGUUGGUUUAAUUAUGAGUGUUAGAAUUGCUUCCUAGUGUGUUUGCUUAUAUAAAUGCUAUGCUUGACUAAAUAGAUUUUCAACGGAGUGACGAAUAGUUCUACCAACUCAUUAUUCUGAGAGCGUUAUAAUCUUCAUCAAGUAUUACCAGGCAAGUUCACUUUGACCAUACUUUCAUACCUAUGUUUUUAUUGCAUUUAAUGGCAUCUUUGCAACAACCCUCCAGUAGUGAUAUUGAAUUCUUGUAGUUGAGUAGUAUGCAUGAGGUAGGAACCCAUCACCCUGUUACCAAGCCCGGGAGUUAUUUAUUUUAAUGCUACGCUAUAGUAGACGGGGUUUGGUAUGAGUGCAUGAGAGUGGUGUGAAGGAGGACUCUAUGUCAAUGACGACAACUCCAUGAUGGCAUCUGCAAGGACUGCACCUUCAAGGCCUCAAGACUUCAAGACUCGAGACAAGAAUUCAAUACACACUACUGGGUGAAGCACGGUUGAUGGGUACCCUGGAGCAACCAGUGGAUGGCUGGGAUGCAUGGAGAAGCGCCAUGACAUCUUGCGGAAAGCUUCACCCAGACUCAAAGAGACGGAAGAAUACUUCAUGCCCGAAAGCUUACCUGUGCAACCGCAAGUCAUUAUGGGCUCUGGCUUGGUUGACCUUAGUUGUGACUCUUGCUAGGAUGGUGCUAGCAGAUGUAGAACUACGGUAGGAUUGGAUGAGCACCGGACAAUGGUCAGGGGAACUCUUCGGAAGACCAUGUUUUGGUUGUCUUGUUCUCAAACACCUGAAGUGCAAGAACGUAAAGAGAGGGAUCAAAUCUUGCGGGUAAAGUGUACAAACCUCUGCAGAGAAUUAAACCUAAUCGAUUAGCCGUGUCCCCGGUUACGGACAAUUUGUGCAUCUGGACCUGGAUCUAUCUUGGAACUCUCAAUAAUGGACUGAUAACUUAAUUGUGGGCAACUUAUGAGGAGUUGGGCUAUGAGACAUCGGUUGGCGGAACCAUGUCAUGAUAGAAAACUCUUUAGUACAGACUCCGGUUUUAUCCUUUGAUGUAGGGAAAAUAAAACCAGCUUUUACGCAAACAAAACUCAGACCCAGAGCCAUAAAGCCAUAUUGCAUAUAGUAUAGUUUUAUCAUCUGUUUUCUCAUGUUGUGAUCUUGCCGGUACAUUUAAUGGACUGACCUACACGGCUGCAACGUAUCAUGUUGCAUAUAUUUUUCUUCCGACGAGUAAGAGUAUGGUACAGGGUUACGGUCUACACUCGACCUGUCGAUGGCGUUGAUGGGACUCCACACCCGAUUACUUGUUUCCGCUGAGACUUAUGAGGUAUAUAUAAGUUCUACGUUAUUUAUACAUGUGAUUGCACUUUGAUAUAUAUAUUGAUGUACUGUGUGUGCCAGCAUACUGAUCUAGGGAUGGCACGGAUACACAGAGGCUUGACCGUCUGAGGUCGGGUCGCUACACAUGACUAACCACUCAUUUAAUCUAAACUUAGUUUUAAAUGUUGUUUUCCAUUCAUCCCCCAAUUUCAUACGAAUUUGAUGGUAUCCAUUAUGCAAAUCAACUUCGGAGAAUAUUGUAGAGCCACUCAAUUCAUCAAGCAUAUCAUCUAGCCUAGGAAUAGGAUGACGAUAACGAAUAGUAAUAUUAUUAAUGCCUCUACAAUCAACACACAUACGCGAUGUACCAUCCUUUUUCGGCACUAGAAUAAUAGGAACAACACAAGGACUAAGGGAUUCGCGUAUAUAACCUUUGUCGAGAAGCUCCUGUACUUGACGCAUAAUCUCCUUCGUCUCCUCUCGAUUGGUACAAUAUGGCACACGGUUUGGCAAUGAAGCACCGGGAAUUAAGUCAAUUUGAUGCUCAAUCCCUCGAAUAUGCGGUAAUCCUGGUGGCACGUCUUGUGGAAAGACGUCAGCGAACUCCUGCAAAAUGUUAGUGACAGCAGGAGGCAAAGAGGAAGGCACGUCCUCGAAUGAACAUAAUGCAUCGUUGCACACAAAAGCAUAGCAAACAGAUUUGCUGAAAUCUAGCUCAUCAAUAUCAGAUUUGGUGGCAAAUAAACAUGCACUUUUCAAUUUAAUUUCAGAAGCAGCACUAGAUGGUUUAUUAUUAGGCCUCAUUUGUUGCUAAAAUUCUUUUGCCACAAUCUGAUUUUCACUCUUAUUCUUCUCCUGUUUUGCUUUAUUAGCUCUAUUAAUAUCAUCUUUCAAAAUGGAAUCAGGAGUCAUUGGAAGCAAAGUAAUAUUUUUAUCCUUAUGUACAAGAGUAUACUGAUUGUUUCUACCAUGGUGUAUAGAACUUUUAUCAAAUUGCCAUGGUCGACCAAGUAAUAAGGAACGUGCUUGCAUAGGUACCACAUCACAAUCAACAUAAUGAGCAUUUGAUGUAGUAAGGAUGUGGAUGUGGUCUUGUGGUGAGAGAUAGCUUCUCCACCAUCUCCAUGCUAGCCAAGUUGUUGCAGCUCCCUCUAUCUAUGAUGACGCGCAAAGAACGUUCCUUCACAACUCCAUUUGUAUGGAACAAAUUAUGCCUCUGAUUUUGCUCAACUUGUGUAACCUGCACACUCAAAACACGUUGAGAAACUAAAUAUUCAUACCUGUCAGCAUCUUCAGGAGCCAUGCAUUGUGUCUCAUGAUCAGAAUCAUCUCCAUCGUGUUCUUCACUUGUAAUAAGAGCCAAAGUCUCCUCAUCAUGGUCACUAGUGCACUCAUAUCCACCAUCCUCAGCAGCAAUCAUCACACGCUGAGAUUUGCAUUCUUGCGCAUAAUGUCCUCUUCCCUUACAACGACGACAAAUAAUAUCACUUGUGUGCCCUGUUGAUGCCACGGAAGAACAAGAGCUCUGUGUAGGCCCGGCAGGUGCGUUCUUGGCAGGUAGUGGUGGUUGUGCCUGCUUUCUUGUAUCACGGCUGGAGGUGGCACCUGAUGGAGGUGUUGGUGCAGUGGAAUUAGAAGAUAGACGCGGUGUCCAUGAUGAAGGUCGACCUGCAGAAAAGUUAGUUCGCGUCAAUGCUUGUCGAUCCUGCACUUCACGUUCAGCUUUACAAGCAAGAUGGAAUAAACGAGUGAUAUUAGUAUACUCCUUAUACUCUAGAAUGAUCUGAAUCUCUCUAUUUAAACCACCCAUAAAAUGUGCAAGCAUAGCUUCAUUCUCCUCAACAAUACCACAUCUAAUCAUGCCAGUUUGUAAUUCCUGAUAAUAUUAUUCUAUAGAAUUUUUCCCUUGUCUCAAAUGCUGUAGUUUUUGAACUAAUCCAUGUUGAUAAUAUGGUAGAACCCAACGAGUACGCAUAGCAGUUUUCAAACCAGAUCAAGUAGCUAGAAUAGGAUAUAAUCUACAAUGUUCAGACCACCAUACACAUGCAAAACUAGUGAAAGCACAAACAGCAGCAGCAACCCGUCUCUCUUCAGGACAUUGUAAACAUGUAAAACGUUGUCCAGUUUCUAACUCCCAUGUAAGAUAUAUAUCAGGAACAUAUCUACCCUCAAAUGGUGGAAUAUUCAAUUUCAGUUUGGGAAUAUGGUCAUUAUCUCGUACCUGAGGUGGUGGUGCAGGCCUACCGUUGCGAAUAUAUACCUGAGGUUGACUUGCUGGCGUGGUGCUGGUGGCUGCACGUAGUUCUGAUUUUGAUCAACCUCAUCCUCAUAAUCGCCCGCAUAAUCGUCAUCCUCCUCGGCACCAGCAGCCGUAGUAGCAGGAGCCAAAGAAGCAUCAACAGUAGGUGCAGCGGUACCAGAAUUUUGACUAGUCUCAAUUGGAACGCGUUGUGCUCGUCCCACUAGAUUUGGAAGGCGACAUUAGAGAUGUUGUUGUUGUUGUUGUAGAGGUGCGGCAGAUGCAGUCGGUGGUGGUUGGGGAAGACGCUUGAGCAAUUCAUUAAACUUGUUAUCCAGCAUUGUCUCGAACGACUUCACCAUGGCAUCUAUCUUCUCCAUGGCCUCUUCAAAUCUGUUUAGCACAUCUCCCACCUGUCCACUCAUCAUUUGCUGAAAUUUAUCAUGCAACUCCUUGUUCGUCAUGUUCUCCCAGUCAAUCUCGUCUACUUGUGAUCCUGCCAUGGUUAGUAGCAAUAGAAACACACAAAAAUAUGAUCCUACAGACUACUAGAAAAUGGUGGUGGUGAGGUGUAACAAAUCCGACAAGCGAAUCUCAAAUUCAACAGUUCUUACCCAUCGGCAUGUGGUGAUCGGCAAUCGUUGUAGUCAAAACUCUCAAUGCUUGGAUAAAGCGAUUACCAGGGAGAUCCAAAUGCACGACGUAGAUGUAUGUGGAGCUGGGAAGGCUUAUAAUAUGGUAGCAAAAAGGGUCAGCAAUAAUCAAUUCAGAGAUGCAAAGUUGAAUAAACGCUCAACGACGGUACUGUGCUGGUCCUAGGCUAGACCGUGCUAGAGACGCGAGCCUAGAACACUAACAAAAUCACGGCGCUGCAUGUAAAAAAGGGAGGAGCACGCUCUGGUUUUUUUGGUCCUUUUUUCGCUUUUUUUGCACUUUUUUUCCUCUUUUUUUUGCUCCGCAACAAUUUUUUUUAGAGAAAGUCUACAAAUGGUCUAAAAACUGCCUAGCCAGAAUAAUCCAGACUUAGUUUUUUUUGAAACUGGAACUAUUUUUUCUACUACAGGUAGCACGAAAGUUCGGGAGUCCUACUCUGUCAUGAAUCGGAGUAUGGCGUGAUCUUGAAAUCCAAAACAGAGUAACGAAAUACUGAACUCGGACUAGGACUGCUGGCGGAGAUGAAUCUGGUGGAACUCAGACUGGUGGCGGAGAUGAAUCUGGUGGAACUCGGACUGGUGGCGGAUAUAUGUUGUAGGUGGUCUCGGAUUGGCUUGAUGGUGGCGGAUAUGUGGCGUGUUAUAUGGACUCGGAUUGGCGGUGAAUAUGUGAUGGUGGUAUAUGGCAACGACGAUGAAGUUGUGCGGUGGUGGUAUAUGGCUGAUGAGGACAUCAAUACCAUUGUUACACCCACAGCCCCUACUGCUAUACAUACUGGACCAAUUACUAGAGCUCGCGCACGCCAACUAAAUUACCAGGUAAUUUUGUUUCUUGGUAAUGAUUCUAAUGUUCAUGAGAAUAUGAUGCUGCCUAAAUUGGAUACAUUUGUUUUGCUUACAAAUGAAGGGCCUAGCAUGGAGAAGGAUGAACAUUGGAGCAAGAACAAGCAUGGAGAUGAUGGCAUGCGCAAGGGGAACAAGAACAGAGUUACAAGUGAUGAUUUCAGGGCUUUGAAGCCACCACAACGAGUGCAGAAGCCUUGGACGAAAUAUACAAGAUGCCACUUCAUAAAUUUCGUCCAGAGGCUAUUCAAGGUGCUCCGUCACCUUUUUAUUGGGUCAGGCCCAUGUAAUUUCGAAAUACAUAAGUAUAGGCUAUUUUUAGAGUCCGUAUGUGUGGGGAAACAAGAGAUAGGGUUGGUUUCGGACCCCUCCACCAAGGGCCACGAAAUUCCCCUCCUAUUCCUCCAUAUAUACAGCCCUUAGGGCACCAUUUAGACUUUGGAUUUUGUUUAGAUUAAAAGUUCGCCAUAGCUGCAAUUUCGCAUACUUCGUUUGUGUUCAACGACCAGACAAAGGCGUCACAGAACCCCAGCUUCAUUAAUAAAGAUUUCCUCUGUUAUUCGCAGUAUCCAGGUUACAAUCUUAGUUUCUUUCUUGUUCUUCGUUUGCUUGCAGGAAAUAGACCUUCGUGGUCAGGUUGAUCGUGCUCCGGCGUGGUCAUAAUCUCUCGAAGUUGGUUUAGCGAUUGCUAAGGUGCGACGUCCUCGCACGUCCGUAGUCGGAUCGUCAAAGUCGACUUCCACCAAAACGAUAGCCACCAUCUCAUCGAAAGGAUGGUACGUCACGUAUGUGUGUUGAUUGUAGAGGCAUUAAUAAUAUUACUAUUCGUUAUCGUCAUCCUAUUCCUAGGCUAGAUGAUAUGCUGGAUGAAUUGAGUGGCUCUACAAUAUUCUCCAAAGUUGAUUUGCAUAGUGGAUACCAUCAAAUUCAUAUGAAAUUGGGAGAUGAAUGGAAAACAACAUUUAAAACUAAGUUUGGAUUAUAUGAGUGGUUAGUCAUGCCUUUUGGGUUAACUAAUGCACCUAGUACUUCCAUGAGAUUAAUGAACGAAGUUUUAGGUGCUUUCAUUGGACGAUUUGUGGUCGUUUACUUUGAUGACAUAUUGAUUUAUAGCAGAUCUUUGGAAGAACAUUUGGAACAUUUACGUGCUGUUUUUAUUGCUCUAUGUGAUGCAUGUUUGUUUGGUAACCUUGGGAAGUGCACCUUUUGCACCGACGGAUUAUCUUUUCUUGGCUAUGUUGUUACUCCAUAGGGAAUUGAAGUUGACAAAGCCAAGAUUGAAGCUAUUGAGAGUUGGCCGCAGCCCAAAACGGUCACACAAGUGAGGAGUUUUCUUGGCCUCGCUGGAUUCUAUAGGCGUUUUGUGAGAGAUUUCAACACCAUUGCUGCGCCUCUCAAUGAGCUUACAAAGAAAGAUGUGCCUUUUCUUUGGGGUACCACAGAUGAAGAAGCCUUCACGGUAUUGAAAGAUAAGUUGACACAUGCUCCUUUACUCCAAGUUCCUGAUUUUAAUAAGACUUUUGAGCUUGAAUGUGAUGCUAGUGGAAUUGGAUUAGAAGGUGUGUUAUUACAAGAUGGCAAACCUGUUGCAUACUUUUCUGAAAAAUUGAGUGGGCCUAGUCUAAAUUAUUCUACUUAUGAUAAAGAAUUAUAUGCUCUUGUUCGGACUUUAGAAACAUAGCAACAUUAUUUAUGUCCCAAAGAAUUUGUUAUACACUCUGAUCAUGAAUCUUUGAAACAUAUUAGUAGUCAGGGUAAACUAAAUCGUAGACAUGCUAAAUGGGUUGAAUUCAUUGAGACUUUCCCUUAUGUCAUUAAACACAAGAAGGGAAAAGAAAAUGUUAUUGCUGAUGCAUUGUCUCAUCGCUAUACUAUGCUUUCACGACUUCACUUCAAAAUAUUUGGUUUGGAGACCAUCAAAGAUCAAUAUGUGCAUGAUGCUGAUUUUAAAGACGUAAUGCAGAAUUGUAAAGAAGGAAGAAUGUGGAACAAGUUCGUCGUUAAUGAUGGAUUUGUGUUCCGUGCUAAUAAGCUAUGCAUUCCAGCUAGCUCCAUUCGGCUUUUGUUGUUGCAAGAGGCGCAUGGAGGAGGACUAAUGGGACACUUUGGCAUGAAGAAGACGGAGGACGUACUUGCUGCACAUUUCUUUUGGCCAAAGUGAGACGUGAUGUUGAGCGUUUUAUUGCUCGCUGCACUACAUGUCAAAAAGCUAAGUCACGACUCAGUCCUCAUGGUUUAUAUAUGCCUUCGCAUGUACCUAGUGUUCCUUGGGAGGAUAUAUCUAUGGACUUUGUUUUAGGUUUACCUCGAACAAAGAAGGGGAGGGAUAGCAUAUUUGUUGUCAUGGAUAGAUUCUUGAAAAUGGCACACUUUAUACCAUGUCAUAAAAGCGAUGAUGUUGUUAAUUUUGCUGAUUUAUUCUUUCGUGAAAUUAUUCGCUUGCAUGGUGUGCCAAAUACUAUUGUUUCAGAUCGUGAUACUAAAUUUCUUAGCCACUUUUGGAGAUGUUUAUGGCCUAAGUUGGGGACUAAACUGCUUUUUAGUACUACUUGUCACCCCCAAACUGAAGUAGUCAAUAGAAUGUUGUCUACUAUGCUUAGGGCUGUUUUGAAGAAUAAUAAGAAAAUUGGGGAGGAAUGCUUGCCUCAUAUUGAAUUUUCUUAUAAUCAUUCAUUGCAUUCUACUACUAAGAUGUGCCCUUUUCAAGUUGUGUAUGGUUUCCUACCUUGUGCACCUAUUGAUUUGUUGCCUCUUCCAUCUUCGGAGAAGGUUAAUUUUGAUGCUAAACAAUGUGCUGAAUUGAUUUUAAAAAUGCAUGAGUUAACUAAGGAAAACAUUGAGCGUAUGAAUGCUAAAUAUAAACUUGUUGGAGAUAAGGGUAGAAAACAUGUUGUGUUUGCACCUGGAGAUCUUGUUUGGUUACAUUUGCGUAAGGAUAGAUUUCCUGAUUUGCGCAAAUCAAAGCUAAUGCCACGUGCUGAUGGUUCCUUUAAGGUGUUAGAGAAAAUAAAUGAUAAUGCAUAUAAACUUGAGAUAUCUGCAGAUUUUGGGGUUAGUCCCACUUUUAACAUUGCAGAUUUGAAACCUUAUUUGGGUGAGGAAGAUGAACUUCCGUCGAGGGCAACUUCAUUUUAAGAAGGGGAGGAUGAUGAGGACAUCAAUACCAUUGGUACAACCACAGCCCCUGCUGCUAUACAUACUGGACCAAUUACUAGAGCUCGCGCACGCCAACUAUAUUACCAGGGACUUUCGUUUCUUGGUAAUGAUUCUAACGUUCAUGAGAAUAUGAUGUUGCCUAAAUUGGAUACAUUUGUUUUGCUUACAAAUGAAGGGCCUAGCUUGGAGAAGGAUGAACAUUGGAGCAAGAACAAGCAUGGAGAUGAUGGCAUGCGCAAGGGGAACAAGAAUGGAGUUACAAGUGAUGAUGUCAGGGCUUUGAAGCCACCAUAACGAGUGCAUGAAGCCUUGGAGGAAAUAUGCAAGAUGCCACUUAAAUUUUGUCCAGAGGCUAUUCUAGGUGCCGCGUCACCUUUUUAUUGGGCCAGGCCCAUGUAAUUUCGAAAUACAUAAGUAUAGGCUAUUUUUAGAGUCCGUAUGUGUGGGGAAACAAGAGAUAGAGUUGGUUUCGGACCCCUCCACCAAGGGCCACGAAAUUCCCCCCUCUUCGUCCAUAUAUACAGCCCUUAGGGCACCGUUUAGACUUUGGGUUUUGUUUAGAUUAAAAGUUCGCCAUAGCUGCAACUUAGCGUACUUCAUUUGUGUUCAACGACCAGACAAAGGCGUCACAGAACCCCACCUUGAUCAAUAAAGCUUUCCUCUUAUAUUCGCAAUAUCUAGAUUGCAAUCUUAGUUUCUUGCUUGUUCUUCGUUUGCCUACAGGAAACAGACCUUCGUGGUCAGGUUGAUCAUGCUCGGGCGUGGUUAAUAACCUCUCGGAGUUGGUUUAGCGAAUGCUAAGGCGCGACGUCCUCGUACGUUCGUAGUCGGAUCGUCAAAGUCGACUUCCACCAAAACGAUAGCCACCAUCUCAUCGAAAGAUGGGACACUUUUGCCUCUGUCAUAUUGUUUCCAAAUAUAUAUUAACCGAUGCUAGGAAUGCCCUUUUCUUCUUGGCUUUCACGUGCAUGAGUUACAACAGGCCAUCUGGUGAAAACAAGGAGAAUAAGGCAUAUAGCCGCAUGAUUUUCUUUAAUUUACGGCCAAAUGAGAUUGCCCGAAUCAUAGAGCAUCUGUAGAAAGCUAUGUUUUCCCUACCAGGGGUGCUAAUGUCUAUGAGCAACAUAAUCUCUCGAGUUUCCUUCGAAAGGAAGUGCCAAUGGGUUCAGAAACUUGUCCGAAAAAUAGCGGCGAAUGAUGUUCUUUGACUUUCAGGGCCAAAAAGUCUUGCUUAAGGUAUUUGAGGGUACUCCUGGCUGCUUGGCGCAAGCCGGGAGUAUUUUCUGGAUUUGCACGCUCGCCGCGAACAGUUUGAGUACUUGUGGGCCUGACACUAACUCCGAAUGACAAGGUUAUGACACUAACUCCCAUGACGCUUUUUGCCUGACUGCCCCAAAAUUUCUUGUCCUCUAUAGUGGAAUUCCACAUAUGUAUUGAUUGAUGCCAGCAAUGCCCUUCUGUUCUUGGCUUUCACGCGCAUGAAUUACAGCAUGCUAUCCGGCGAAAACAAGGAGAAUAAGGAAUAUAGCCGCUGGAUUUUCUUCAAUUUACGGCCAAAUGAGAUUGCCCGGAUCAUAGAGUAUAUGUAUAAAGCUAUGUUUUUCCUACCCGGGGGGCUAAUGUCUAUGAGCAACAUAAUCUCUCGAAUUUCCUUCAAAAGGAAGUGCCAAUGGGUUUAGAAACUUGUCCGAAAAACAGCGGCGAAUGAUGUUAUUUGACUUUCAGGGCCAAUAAGUCCUGCUUAAGGCCAUGUUUGAGGGUAAUCCUGGCCUCCUGGCGCAAAUAGGGAGUAUUUUCUGGAUUCACACGCUCGCCAUGAGUAGUUUGAGUACUUGUGGAUCCGACACGGACUCCGAAUGACAAAGUUAUGACCAUUUCAGUGAACAUCGGUCCUUUCUAUGGCAGUCCUUGAAAGUACUUCAUUUUCCCGUGACGCUUUUUGCCUGACCGCACCGAAAUUUCUUAUCCUCUAUAGUGGAGAUAUUGUUUCCACAUACCGAUGCUAAGAAUGCCCUUUUGUUCUUGGCUUUCACGCGCAUGAGUUAUAGCAUGCCAUCCGGUGAAAACAAGGAGAACAAGGCAUAUAGCCGCAGGAUUUUCUUCAAUUUACGGCCAAAUGAAAUUGCCCGAAUCAUAUAGCAUCUGCAGAAAGCUAUGUUUGUCCCUACCAGCGGCGCAAAUGUCUAUGAGCAACAUAAUCUCUAGAAUUUCCUUCAAAAGGAAGUGCCAAUGGGUUCAGAAACAUGUCCGAGAAACCGCGGCGAAUGAUGUUCUUUGGCUUUCAGGGCCAAAAAGUCCUGCUUAAAGCCAAAUUUGAGGGUACUUCGGGCCUCCAGGCGCAAGUCGGGAGUAUUUUCUGGAUUCGCACGCUCACUGCGAGUAGUCUGAGUACUUGUGGGCCCAACACGGACCCUGAAUGACAAAGCUAUGACCGUUUUAGUGAACAUCGGUCCAUUCUAUGGUAGUCCUUAAAAGUACUUCAUUUCCCCGUAAAGCUUUUUACCUAACCGCCCCAAAAUUUCUUAUCCCCUAUAGUGGAGAUAUUGUUUCCACAUAUAUAUCGACCGAUGCCAGGAAUGCACUUUUGUUCUUGGCUUUCACGCGCAUGAGUUACAACAUACCAUCCGGUGAGAACAAGGAGAAUAAAGCAUAUAGCUGCAUGAUUUUCUUCAAUUUACGGCCAAAUGAGAUUGCCCAAAUCAUAGAGCAUCUGCAGAAAGCUACGUUUGUCCCUACCAGGGGUGGUAAUGUCUAUGAGCAACAUAAUCUCUCGAAUUUCCUUCAAAAGGAAGUGCCAAUGGGUUCAGAAACUUGUCCGAAAAACAGUGGCGAAUGACGUUCUUUGACUUUCAGGGCCAAAAAGUCUUGCUUAAGGCCGAAUUUGAGGGUACUUCGGGCCUCCAGGCGCAAGCCGGGUGUAUUUUCUGGAUUCGCACGCUCGCCGCAAGUAGUUUGAGUACUUGUGGGCCUGACACGGAUUCCAAAUGACAAAGUUAUGACCGUUUUAGUGAACAUCGGUCCAUUCUGUGGCAGUCCUUGAAAGUUCUUCAUUUUCCCGUGACGCUUUUCGCCUGACCGCCCCGAAAUUUCUUAUCCUCUAUUGUGGAGAUAUUGUUUCCACAUAUAUAUUUACCGAUGCCAGGAAUGCCCUUUUGUUCUUGGCUUUCAUGCACAUGAAUUACAUCUUGCCAUCCGGCAAAAACAAGGAGAAUAAGGCAUAUAGCCGCUGGAUUUUCUUCAAUUUACGGUAAAAUGAGAUUUCCUGGAUCAUAGAGUAUCUAUAGAAAGGUACGUUUGUCCCUACCAGGGGGGCUAAUGUCCAUGAGCAACAUAGUCUCUCGAAUUUCCUUCAAAAGGAAGUGCCAAUGGGUUCAGGAACUUGUCCAAAAAACAACGGCGAAGGAUGUUAUUUGACUUUAGGGCCAAAAAGUCCCGCUUAAGGCCAACUUUGAGGGUACUCCGGGCCUCCUGGCGCAAGCAGGGUGUAUUUUCUAGAUUCGCACGCUCGCCGCAAGCAGUUUGAGUACUUGUGAGUCCGGCACCGACUCCGAAUGACAAAGUUAUGACCGUUUUAGUGAACAUCAGUCCAUUCUAUGGCAGUCCUUGAAAGUACACCAUUUUCCCAUGAUGCUUUUUGCCUGACCGCCCCAAAAUUUCUUGUCCUAUAUAGUGGAGAUAUUGUUUCCAAAUAUAUAUUGGUCGAUGCCCGCAAUGCCCUUUUGUUCUUGGCUUUCACGCGCUUGAAUUAUAGCAUGCUAUCCGGCGAAAACAAGGAGAAUAAGGAAUAUAGCCGCUGGAUUUUCUUCAAUUUACGGCCAAAUGAGAUUGCCCGGAUCAUAGAGUAUCUGUAGAAAGCUACGUUUUUUCCUACCAGGGGGGCUAAUGUCUAUGAGCAACAUAAUCUCUCAAAUUUCCUUCAAAAGGAAGUGCCAAUGGGUUUAGAAACUUGUCCAAAAAAUAACGGCGAAUGAUAUUCUUUGACUAUCAGGGCCAAAAAGUCCUGCGUAAGGAAGAAUUUGAGGGUAGUCCUGGGCUCCUGGCGCAAGCCAGGAGUAUUAUCUGGAUUCGCAUGCUCGCCGCGAACAGUUUGAGUACUUGUGGGCCCGACACUAACUCUGAAUGACAAAGUUAUGACCGUUUUAGUGAACAUCGGUCCAUUCUAUGGCAGUCCUUGAAAGUACAUCGUUUUCCCAUGACGCUUUUUUCCUGACCGCCCCAAAAUUUCUUGUCCUCUAUAGUGGAAAUAUUGUUUCCACAUAUAUAUUGAUCGAUGCUAGCAAUGCCCUUUUGUUCUUGGCUUUCACGCGCAUGAAUUACAUCAUGCUAUCCGGCGAAAACAAGGAGAAUAAGGAAUAUAGCCGCUGGAUUUUCUUCAAUUUACGGCCAAAUGAGAUUGCCCAGAUCAUAGAGUAUCUGUAGAAAGCUAUGUUUUUCCCUACCAGGGGGGCUAAUGUCUAUUAGCAACAUAAUCUAUCGAACUUCCUUCAAAAGGAAGUGCCAAUGGGUUUACAAACUUGUCCGAAAAACAGCGGCGAAUGAUGUUCUUUGACUUUCAGGGCCAAAAAGUCCUGCUUAAGGCCGAGUUUGAGGGUACUCCUGGCCUCAUGGCGCAAGCAGGGAGUAUUUUCUGGAUUCACUCGCUCGCCAUGAGUAGUUUGAGUACUUGUGGAUCUGACACGGACUCCGAAUGACAAAGUUAUGACUGUUUCAGUGAACAUUGGUCCAUACAAAGGCGUCACAGAACCCCACCUUGAUCAAUGAAGCUUUCCUCUUAUAUUCGCAAUAUCCAGAUUGCAAUCUUAGUUUCUUGCUUGUUCUUUGUUUGCCUGCAGGAAACAGACCUUCGUGGUCAGGUUGAUCGUGCUCCGGCGUGGUCAAUAACCUCUCGGAGUUGGUUUAGCGAUUGCUAAGGCGCGACGUGCUCGCACGUUCGUAGUCGGAUCGUCAAAGUCGACUUCCUCCAAAACGAUAGCCACCAUCUCAUUGAAAGACGGGACACCUUUGCCUCUAUCAUAACCAUUAGAAGCACAAAUGCAUGAAUAAUAUGAUGCAACAAUGGCUAUAUUCAUGGCACUAGGUAUAUGGUGCAAAGAAGUAAGAGAAGCAUGCUUCACAAGAAAUAUGUCAAAAUCUCCAAAUAUACGCGAGAAUGCUAUGGGGGCAAUCUCAUUAGGAAGACUAAAAGCAUUGUUGCACUCAAUACAUGGCAAAUCAUCUAGCAUGAGAGAAGCAACAUAUGAUAUAUAUGACAAGAAGCAAUAACAAUCAUGUGCAAAGCAUAGAAAUGGUUGUCAUCAACCGCAUGAAAUGAGCAAGUAUGAAUCAUGGGUGAUGCAACAUGAACAAGCAUAUAGAUCAAAUCGUGCAAACUAGUGGAGCGAAGAUGCAACACACUAGAGUAAAUCAUAGCAAUCAUGUCAUGUGAGUAGACACUAGGCAUAGACAAUGCACAUGACAUCUCGCAAGCACGAGCACAAAGCAAGAUGAAAGUAUCAUUAUAGGAAUGGGACAUAAAGCAAACAUGUCAAUAGGAAGAGAUAUGUCCACCAAGCUUGCAAAUACACAUAAAAGUAUGAGAAUCAGUCAUCAUGUGUAAAGCAAAGCAUGGGUCACAAAUGCAUGGCAAAGGCAUAGGAAUGGGUAUAUCAUGCAAAGUGAAGAUGGCAAUAUGGGCAAAGGAUAUAUAAUGGACAAUAAGCCAUAACCAUGUGAGGGACAUGUAGAAGAAAUGCGUGAAGUUUUUGCGCCAUGGGGAGGGUGGUAAGGAUAAUCAACGGUAUCCCAAGUCAUCGUUGCUCUCUAGAGCUCGUCAACUCAUGGGAUUGUGAGGUUGAUAAGUAAGCAUGGGUACCUACACAAAGGAGACACAAACCAAAGAAAUUGUGUGCAUGGUAAAUGUACACAUCAUCCCUCAUGAUGUGUAUGUGCACGUGUGAGUUAGCACAAGAUAAGCAUCGCUCAAAGAAAUUUGAUGCAUGGUAUAAGAAUAUGUCAUCCAUCAUGAAAGAAUAGUUAUUGUGUAUGACACGACGGGGACACAAUUGAGCAUACAAAUAUAUGGCACAUCAAUAUCAUUUUCAUUCAUGGGGAGCAUAUUGUGCCCACAAUUAUUGGGAUCAUGAAAAGGAUAGGAUGGAUCAAAAUCUCCUAACAUGUAUGAGGAAACUAUGGGUGUCUCCUCAUGAACAACAUUGGAAACAUCAUAUGGAGAAAAUGGACAACAUCCAAAACAAUGCAUAUCCGAAGCUAGGUAGGGAUGGCAUGGCAUAUGAGAUAAAUGAUGCAAAGGGAGCAUAUUAAUAUCAUCGCAAGAAAAACAAAUGCCAAUAACCAUGGGCUUGUCAUCUAUGCCAUAUGUGCAAAUUGGGUUUAUUUUAAUGGCAUAUGCAUAGUCACUAUGAAGAGAUUGCAAAUAAGACAUAUGGUUGAUCUCAUGCAUAGCAUAUGACAAGUCAAGCGGAUUAUCAAACAUGAUGUGACCAAGGGAAUUGUCACAAGAAAGCCUAUGUAAGAUGGGAUCACAACUAAUUGGCUCCACAUGAGAAUCAUCAUACUCAUCAUAAAUGGGCAAGAAAUAAUCACAUGAGAAAGUCACACUAGCAUGAAUCAUGGAAAUAGGUGGAUCAUCAUCAUGCAAGCAAGCAAUGUCAAGAAUGUCCACUAGUGGGACUAGCACAUCACCUUCUCCUUUGUUACCUUUGUUAUUCCACUCAUGUGGUGUAGAUGAGGUGGAAAAGACCAAAUGGUAGUCAUCUUCAUCUUGAUGGAACCAUGUGGGGGGUGCAUCGUAUUCCACCAUGGCCAUCGUCUUGUCCAAAGGGAGGACGAAGUCAUUGAGGAUCGGGGCAUCAUCAUCAAUGGGACCUAUCACCAAAUGAGAAGACACAAUAGAGGUAGAGGUCAAGUAGUUAGUGUUGAAAUUGGCCUCACAAGACCUAUGAACUAGCACUCUCUCUCUAUGUGGUGGUUCACUCACUCCCUCGAAGUAGGUGCACUCAAUCUCACGUAUGGUGGAGUCACUUAUCUCACUCAAGUGGUGGGGGUUGUGGCUCUCCUCACAUGGGAAUUGGGGCAACUCAUCAUAUGUAGGGCUAGUGGUGAACUCGCUCUCACUCUCAAUAUGGUGGCACAAGUCACUCAAGUUAUCAUACGUCGCCAUGGUCGAAGGGAAAAUCCCAUGCUCAACCAUGGCGGCGUCGUCGCCGUGGAUGAAGGCCGAAGAUGGCACAUCAUCACUCUCCUCCAAGACCGAAGGGAAAAAUCCCAUGUUCGAUCAUCUCGUCAUUGUCGCCGUGGAUGAAGGCCGAAGAUGGCACAUCAUCACUCUCGCCUCCAAAGAUGGAAGCAUCAUCCUUGCAUGCCACCUUGUCGCUCGCCUCCAAAUCUUGGUCCUUGAGGGUCUCCGUAGUCGAACUCGUCACCGCACCGUCUUGAAAAAGAGUUGACGUAGACUCGGCAUCAUCAAUGCCACAAAGAGGGAUGGCGGUGAAGUCGAACUUGGGAGCAUCGUCUUGGAGCUCGUCGGGCUUGGACAUCGUGGUGGUACUAGCCUCAUGCUCAUUGUAGAGCUUGGUAGCUGCGAAGUGUGCUUGGGGUGGAGACGCCUUGGCCUUCAUGAGUUCUUGUUCCGCCUUGAGAGCACCAAUUUAGUAGUCGUUAAGGGACUUGUAGUUCUUGAGGAAGAUAGUCUUGGAGAUGUCGUUGUUCAAUCCCAUCAUGAAGUGGAACUUCAUCGAAAUGGGUUCAUCCACGCCGGCUCAUCGCAAGGCAAUCUUCAUAUCCUUGAAGUACUUGUUGAUGGACUUGGAUCCUUGGGUGGUGUUCUCCAAUUGGCGUCGAAGUUGUUCCGUGUAGGUUGGAGGCACGAACUCUCGCCGCAAAGCUCUCUUCAUCUUGGGCCAACUCAUCUCGUAGCUCUCCGAAGGUGUGUGAAGCUACCAUGUCGAGGCAUAGUCAUUGAAGUUUCUUGUGGCGCACUUCACUUGAUCUCCGGGACGAACUUGAUGUAGCUUGAGGUAUUCGUCCAUCAAGCGCUCCCACUCAAGAUACUCCUCGAGUUCUUGAGUCCCAUAGAAAGGAAUCGCGUGGUCGAUGUCGAGGUCGUAGUAGGUCAUGGAAGUCGCGGACUUGAGCUUGGGGAGCUUCUCUUGAGCGUAGCCUUGAGGUUCUUGUUGGCGAAGAUGUCGUAUGUCCGUAGGCGAAGAUGCCUUAAAGUCGCUUGGUGAAGAUGCCAAGGGAGAUUGUGAAGUCGUUUAGAGGUUGUUGGUGUUGAGAUCUUGACCUUCACGUUCUUGUUGGUGAUGGUGUCGAUGCCGAUGUGAUCUUGCGGGAGAUGGUAGCUCGGAAGUAUGUGCUCUUGAGCAUCUUCUCGAAGAUGAGGAAGAUCGCUUGUAGGACUUGAUGAGGGCUUUGAUAUCCUCCAUUUAAGGUUGCAUCUUGGCAUCGGAGUUGUUUUUCGUGGCAUCGAAUGUGUCGUUGUUGUUGUAGACCGAAGGUGAAAUGCCUUGACUAUCCAUCACAAGACUCGAGCAAAGGUGAGUAGGAAAUGAGAUAAACAAUACCAAAGUUACUGUUUCCCGAAGUUGAGGAUGUAUCCCAUUUCACUCAAUGUGAAAUGAAAGAAUAGUGGAAUUGGUACCGGACUUGUUCACUCACACCUAUCAAGUAAAGCUUACGAUGGAGCUAGGUGAGGAUAGUGGCACAAAAAUUUAAUGCAAAAUGUUAGUAAGAGUCAAUAAUGUUGAAAGAGAUUCACAAAUUCGCAAGCGAAAUAAGUAGACCAAUAGCAAUAUGUGGCACACGGAAACACACACAUGGAUAGAUAAAUGGGGUCGUGCAACCAAGGAAUGAGCACAAAAUGUGGAAUCCACGGAAAACGCUCGUGUUGCACAACUCAAGAGAGACACUAGCACGAUUGCUCAAUAGGCGGAUACGACACUUGUGCACAACCUAUAAGGUGCAAAAUGGAUAAAAUUUCUAUCCCAAGUAUGCUAUGUAUGUAUGGUUCUCGGUGUUUCCCGCAAGAUGAUCCAAGAUGAUCGGAUAUGACAAUCUUAUAUGCAAUGUGGUAUGAUGCUAUGGCACUUGCUUACAAGCUUCUUUGAUCUCUCCUUUUCUUUGCUUAAAAGCUUAUUCUUUCUUUUUUUGUACGGACACUUUUGCACAAUGCACAAACCAAGAUAGCAAUUCUAUAUAUGCGGGAACAAACUUGUGACACAAGAGAUGAUAUGAUGAUACCAAUACGAUAUGGUAUGUAUGCAAUGGAAGGUACGAAUCACUAAUGUGCACAAGUAACGUUGCCGGCAAUACUCAAAUGGCUAGUCUCGAUAAGCAAGUAACGCAAAAUGGGCUAGGGGUUAUCAAUGCAAUUACAAGGGGGAUAUACAAUGGUAUCGUCGAGGUUACCGUCCUUGGUGAUGAUGAUAGGCGGUGUUGCCGAUGUCGACCCGUUCCUAGUUAGCCGAAACACCCUAGGAAAUGGAAGAACCGCAAACUCAAAAUCGCCAAAGACAAAUGUCAAAUGGUGGUAGCGGAAAGCGAUAGUGGUUUGCACUCGGCAAUGCGGAAGUGGGAUGAUGGGAUGUACACGUGUCGAAGUUGAAGUUUCCAUCCCUAAGUAGCUGAAACACCUUAGGAGACACAAUCCACAACUCAAACAAGCUCAAACAACAAUUGGGUUAAGUUGAGGUGGCGGAAGUCGGUGGUGGUGUAGCAGACGAUGUGGUGGAAGCCCUAGGCAAAGAUGCCAAAAUUCACAAAAUAUGAUGGAGUCAAAUGAUGGUGGUAGUAUUUUUGUGGCAUAGGGGAUGUCAGUAGCUUCAAAACGAGCUAGAGAACGUCAAAAAAGGACUCCGGAUGAAUUAGUUAUGGCCAAAACAAAAAUUUGUCCGUGUCAGUUUCAAGGUUAGCCGGACAUCCGGGAGGAGGUCCGGAUGAUCCGGGCUUGGUCCGGAUGAUCCGGGAGUACUUUCGGAUGAUCCGGGUUCGGCAAGGUCAGUUCUAUUUUUUUGGCACGUGGGUUAUCCGGACGUCCGGGAGAGGGCCCAGCUGAUCCAGGAGGUAUCCGGAUGAUCCGGGAGAAGGUCCGGAUGAUCCAGGCAGGUCAAACUGCUCGGGAUUUCCUCUCAAGGACGAAUUUUUGCACGGAAUUUGGGGAUUUUGGGGUGAAAAUUGACGAGAUUUUAUGGAUGCAAGGUGGGGAAACUUGGGGAGAUGCUAGAUCCACUUGAAACCAAGCAAAUCCAUGGAUCAAAAUCAACAAAACAUCAUCAAACUAACAAAUCACAAAAAAAUUGAUGCUAUUUUUGGUGAGGAUUUUCGGAUUUAGGAUGAAAUCAACAAAAUCAAGCUAGAAAACAUGCGGUAGGGGCUCCAAAAACGUGAUCAACGUGGCUCACGAUACCAAGAUGAUGUAGGGUAGAACCCUAGAGGCCGACCUUUCAUGAUUGGAGCGAAUCCCUCCGAAGAACACGAAGAACACUGGGAAGAACGGAGAGAAAUCACAAGGGGAAACACUCAAGAACAAGUGCAAUCACACAUCCACUAGACAAUCAAACACACAAGAUCCAUAAGGGUACAUGAAUAACAAAAGGAAAAGAUACAAGGCAGAGUUCAUCUCCAAGAGGAGGUCUUGAUGGUAUCCUAGACGGAUCUUCCCGUGAGGGGGUCUUGAUGAUAUCCCGUAGGAUCUUCUCACAUGGAGGUCUUGAACUUCAUGGGAGUGGUCUCUCUCUCAAGAGGAGGAGGUAGGAGCAAAGCUCACCUAAGAAUGAGCUAUCAUCUUUGCUUCCCCUAGAAAGGAGGUGGAGGAGGUCUAUUUAGAGCCCAAGGGGCGAAGGGGUAAGUGAGGGGCGAAUGGGUACACCGGCCUCGGCCCAAGUCAUGCGUGCAGGCAAGGCGAGAUGAUCCGGAUGGGGUCCCAGAUGAUCCGGACGGAGUCCCGGAUGAUCCGGCUUCAGUGGAAGCCUUCUGGUGUCUUUGCCGCACUUAUCCGGACGAUCCGGGGGAAGGUCCGGAUGAUCCGGCUGAGACCGGAUGAUCUGGAUGGUAGUCCGGAUGUCCGGCCUGGCUCCAGCAGCCGCUCUGUUGUCUUCUUCUCCUUUCUUCCGUCUUCUCUUCCACACUUCCCUCCCGGACGGUGUAGUCAUUCCUUGGCGCUUGCACUCUUCCUUGACAUCCGUGAAGCUCCGACAAUACCUAUGCAUGCACACGGGAGAAGUGUCAAGUAGUACACCAUCCUCAAGGGGUCAAGUGAGCACGUGUAAAGGAGAUGAUUCACCUUUGUUUAUGCGAAGUAGAUGUCGCACGUGUCACUUGCCAAACGGACUCUUGCCAUGGUGAUGUCCGUAGGAUGCUCCGCAUCACUUGGAGUACUUAGAUUGCACAAUGCCUUCAUCUACGUCAAACUACAAGUCCGUCCACGACAACCGUUUCCAUGGUGAUGAGGAUCACGAUCCGAGGCCGGAUCUUUCCCAAGGGGGGGGGGGGGAGAUGAUGCGGAGCAUCCCACGUUCAUCCCCAUGUACACUUCGACUACUCUCCAAGCCCCAAGAGGACAUAUGACGAGACCUCAAACAUACGCCAUUGGACACAAGGUUUUGGACCCCUUCCCCAAGGGCCAUGAAAUUCCCCCCUCUUUCCUCCAUAUAUACAACCCUUAGGGCGUCGUUUAGACUUUGGGUUUUGUUUAGAUUAAAGUUCGCAAUAGCUGCAACUUCGUGUACUUCGUUUGUGUUCAACGACCAGACAAAGGCUUCACAGAACCCCACCUUCAUUAAUAAAGCUUUCCUCUUAUAUUCGCAAUAUCCAGAUUGCAAACUCAGUUUCCUGCUUGUUCUUCGUUUGCUCGCAGGAAAACAGACCCUCGUGGUUAGGUUGAUCGUGCUCCGGCGUGGUCAAUAACCCCUUGGAAGUUGGUUUAUAGAUUGUUAAGGCACGACGUCUCGCACAUUCGUAGUCGGAUCGUCAAGGUCGACUCCCACAGAAAACGAUAGCCACCAUCUCAUCGAAAGACGGGAUACCUUUGCCUCUAUCAUCAUGUGUUGAGUUACCUGUUGAAUUGAGCACGCCACCUAUAUUAGAGAAUCAUGUUACGUUCAUGAAUGCAUCAUGUGAUCAAACAACUGAAAUACCAACAAUUUUUAGUGCGCCCAUUGAAUUAACUGUUGAUGUCAUAGUACCAUGUGAAUCAAGAAAUAAAUCAGAUUUGGAUCAAAUACAUUUUAAAAUAAUUGUGUCAAUGUUUAAUCAUUUUGAUAUGACCUCUAAUCUUGGUGAUCAUUCUGUCUCAAACGACUUAUCAUGUUUUCUUAUUUAAGCAUGUUGUAGCAUGUAAAUUUAAUGCACGUAAUGUUUAUUCACCAAUGUUGGGAUGGUUUAAUGAUGAAUAUUGUCAAUCUUUUGAUAUGAAUAAGAGAGCUUCACUUAUAUGUACAAAGUGAGUUGUAAGAUUUUCAUGACUUCUACUUAUGAUAAUAUUUUGGCUUUAUAUUUUAUGACCUAUGAAAGUUACUCAUGUAUACAUGUGUCAUAUGUGCAAAAAUCAAGGGAAGUAAGAAUGGAUGACAUAUACAUAUACAACAUGUACACCUUGUCUCUUUUGUUAGCCACAUUUCAGAUUAAGCAACGCCGAGGACGGCUUUGUUUUCAAGAAGGGGAGGAUGAUGAGGACAUGAAUACCUUGGAUACGACCAAAAAUAUUGCAUACAUGCGUAUUUGUCAGGUGAUUUCUAGUGCAAACUAUUCAAUAAUUGAUUUAUGUUAUCAAGAACAAAAAUACUUCACACACUUUUGUAUUUUGUCUAAUUGCAGGUGUAUGGGACAUUUGUACAAUCCACAUAUGAAGAUAAGGGAAAAGGAGAAGUUUAGGUUAUGUUCAAAAAGUUCUCUCACGUCACUUUUGGCCAAGAGAAUAUAGAGUCCAAGUCUCUCACGUUCUGGAUUCAGAUUCGGACUGCACAGACAUACCUGACUCAAAACACCAACAACUUUUUCAUACGGACUCCGAAUUGGGUGAUUCUUUUUUUGUUGGAAAGUAAACUUCGUGCUCUUUCCAAACCAAUUGGAUUCACCUUCAAACUUCUCCAGAGCAUUGAGAUAUCACGAAACAAUCUGACAUUGCAGCAGAAUCUGAGUCAAACAACAAGUCCAAAGGUGUUGCAUCACUUCCACUUGGGCCCAUGAGCCUUAUACGACCUAGGAUUAGUUUUAGGGUGCCUUGGGACGUCCUUCCACCUCCUUGGCUGCCACCCCUUGCUCCUAUAUAAGUAGAUCCAUCUAGUAGCUUUUUCUUCGGUAUUUGUUUAGUUAAAAGUUAGCCAUUGCAACUUCGUGUACUAAAACGGUCAUAACUUUGUCAUUCGGAGUCCUUCGGGCCCACAAGUAAUCAAACUGCUCGCGGCGAGCGUGCGAAUCCAGAAAUUACUCCCGGCUUGUGCCUGGAGGCCCGAAGUACUCUCAAAUUCGGCCUCAAGCAGGACUUUUUGGCCUUGAAAGUCAAAGAACAUCAUUCGUCGCGGUUUUUCGGACAAGUUUCUGAACCCAUUGGCACUUCCUUUUGAAGGAAAUUCGAGAGGUUAUGUUGCUCAUAGACAUUAGCGCCCCUGGUAGGGACGAACGUAGCUUUUUGUAGAUGCUCUAUGAUUUGGGCAAUCUCGUUUGGCCGUAAAUUGAAGAAAAUCCUGCGGCUAUAUGCCUUAUUCUCCUUAUUAUCACUGGAUGGCAUGUCGUAACUCAUGCGUGUGAAAGCCAAGAACAAAAGGGCAUUCCUGGGAUCGGUCAAUAUAUAUGUGCAAACAAUAUCUCCACUAUAGAGGAUAAGAAAUUUUGGGGCGGUUAGGCAAAAAGCUUCACGGGAAAAUGAAGUACUUUCAACGACUGCCAUAGAAUGGACCGAUGUUCACGAAAACGGUCAUAGCUUUGUCAUUCAGGGUCCGUGUCGGGCCCACAAGUACUCAAACUGCUCGCGACGAGCGUGCGAAUCAAGAAAAUACUCCCAGCUUGCGCCUGGAGGCCUGAAGUACCCUCAAAUUCGGCCUUAAGCAGGACUUUUUGGCCCUGAAAGUCAAAGAACAUCAUUCAUCGCGGUUUUUCGGACAAGUUUCUGAACCCAUUGGCACUUCCUUUUGAAGGAAAUUCGAGAUGUUAUGUUGCUCAUAGACAUUAGCACCCCUUGUAGGGACAAACGUAGAUUUCUACAGAUGCUAUAUGAUUUGGGUAAUUUCAUUUGGCCGUAAAUGGAAGAAAAUCCUGCGGCUAUAUGCCUUAUUCUCCUUGUUUUCACCGGAUGGCAUGCUGUAACUCAUGCGUGUGAAAGCCAAGAACAAAAGGGCAUUCCUGGCAUUCGUCAAUAUAUAUGUGGAAACAAUAUCUCCACUAUAGAGGAUAAGAAAUUUCGAGGCGGUCAGGCAAAAAGCGUCACGCGAAAAUGAAGUACUUUCAAAGACAUCCAUAGAAUGGACUGAUGUUCACUAAAACGGUCAUAACUUUGUCAUUCGGAGUCCUUCGGGCCCACAAGUAAUCAAAUUGCUCGCGGCGAGCGUGCGAAUCCAGAAAUUACUCCCAGCUUGUGCCUGGAGGCCCGAAGUACCCUCAAAUUCGGCCUUAAGAAGGACUUUUUGGCCCUGAAAGUCAAAGAACAUCAUUGGCCGCUGUUUUCGGACAAGUUUUUGAACCCAUUGGCACUUCCUUUUGAAGGAAAUUCGAGAGAUUAUGUUUCUCAUAGACAUUAGCGCCCCUGGUAGGGAUAAACGUACCUUUCUGCAGAUGCUCUAUGAUUCGAGCAAUCUCCUUUGGCCGUAAAUUGAAGAAAAUCCUGCGGCUAUAUGCCUUAUUCUCCUUAUUAUUACCGGAUGGCAUGUCAUAACUCAUGCGUGUGAAAGCCAAGAACAAAAGGGCAUUCCUAGCAUCGGUCAAUAUAUAUGUGGAAAUAAUAUCUCCACUAUAGAGGACAAGAAAUUUCGGGGCGGUCAGGCAAAAAGCGUCACGGGAAAAUAGAGUACUUUUAAGGACUGCCAUAGAAUGGACCGAUGUUCACUAAAACGGUCAUAACUUUGUCAUUCGGAGUCUGUGUCGGACCCACAAGUACUCAAACUGCUCACGGCGAGUGUGCGGAUCUAUAAAAUACUCUCUACUUGCGUUAGGAGACCAGGCGUACCCUCAAAUUCGGCCUUAAGCAGGAAUUUUUGGCCCUGAAAGUCAAAGAACAUCAUUCGCCGCUGUUUUUCAGACAAGUUUCUGAACCCAUUGGCACUUCCUUUUGAAGGAAAUUCGAGAGAUUAUGUUGCUCAUAGACAUUAGCGCCCCUGGUAGGGACAAACAUAGCUUUCUAUAGAUACUCUACGAUCCAGGCAAUCUCAUUCGGUCGUAAAUUGAAGAAAAAUCUUGUGGCUAUAUGCCUUAUUCUCCUUGUUUUCAUCGGAUGGCAUGCUGAAACUCAUGCGCGUGAAAGCCAAGAACAAAAGGGCAUUCCUGGCAUCGGUCAAUAUAUAUGUGGAAACAAUAUCUCCACUAUAGAGGAUAAGAAAUUUUGGGGCGGUUAGGCAAAAAGCGUCACGGGAAAAUUAAGUACUUUCAAUGACUGCCAUAGAAUGGACCGAUGUUCACUAGAACGGUCAUAGCUUUGUCAUUCAGGGUUCGUGUCGGGCCGACAAGUACUCAAUCUGCUCGCGGUGAGUGUGUGAAUCCAGAAAAUACUCCCGGCAUGGAUCUGGAGGCCCGAAGUACCCUCAAAUUUGGCUUUAAGUAGGACUUUUUGGCCCUGAAAGUCAAAGAACAUCAUUCGUCGCGGUUUUUCGGACAAGUUUCUGAACCCAUUGGCACUUCCUUUUGAAGGAAAUUCGAGAGGUUAUGUUGCUCAUAGACAUUAGCACCCCUGGUAGGGACAAACGUAGAUUUCUGCAGAUGCUAUAUGAUUCGGGCAAUUUCAUUUGGCCGUAAAUUGAAGAAAAUCCUGCGGCUAUAUGCCUCAUUCUCCUUCUUUUCACCGGAUGGCAUGAUGUAACUCAUGCGUGUGAAAGCCAGGAACAAAAGGGCAUUCCUACAAUCGGUCAAUAUAUAUGUGGAAACAAUAUCUCCACUAUAGAGGACAAGAAAUUUCGGGGCGGUCAGGCAAAAAGCGUCAUGGGAAAAUGAAGUAAUUUCAAGGACUUCCAUAGAAUGGACCGAUGUUCACUAAAACGAUCAUAACUUUGUCAUUCUAUGUCCUUCGGGCCCACAAGUAAUCAAAUUGCUCGCGGCGAGCGUGCGAAUCCAGAAAUUACUCCCGGCUCGUGCCUGGAGGCCCGAAGUACCCUCAAAUUCGGCCUUAAGCAUGACUUUUUGGCCCUGAAAGUCAAAGAAAAUCACUCACCGUUGUUUUUUGGACAAGUUUUUGGACCCAUUGGCACUUCCUUUUGACGGGAAUUUGAGAGAUUAUGUUGCUCAUAGACAUUAGCGCCCCUAGUAGUGACAAAUGUAGCUCUCUGCAGAUGCUCUAUGAUUCGGGCAAUCUCCUUUGGCCGUAAAUUGAAGAAAAUCCUGCGGCUAUAUGCCUUAUUCUCCUUAUUAUCACCGAAUGGCAUGUCGUAACUCAUGUGUGUGAAAGCCAAGAACAAAAGGGAAUUCCUAGCAUCGGUCAAUAUAUAUGUGGAAACAAUAUCUCCACUAUACAAGACAAGAAAUUUUGGGGCGGUCAGGCAAAAAGCGUCACGGGAAAAUGAAGUACUUUCAAGGACUUCCAUAGAAUGGACCGAUGUUCACUAAAAUGGUCAUAACUUUGUCAUUCGGAGUCCUUCGGGCCCACAAGUAAUCAAACUGCUCGCGGCAAGCAUGCGAAUCUAGAAAUUACUCCCGGCUUGUGCCUGGAGGCCCGAAGUACCCUCAAAUUCGGCCUUAAGCGGGACUUUUUGGCCCUGAAAGUCCAAGAACAUCAUUCGCCGCUGUUUUCCGGACAAGUUUCUGAACCCAUUAACACUUCCUUUUGAAGGAAAUUCGAGAGAUUAUGUUGCUCAUAGACAUUAGCGCCCCUGGUAGGGACAAACGUAUCUUUCGACAGAUACUCUACGAUCCGGGCAAUCUCAUUUGGCCAUAAAUUGAAGAAAAUCUUGCGGCUAUAUGCCUUAUUCUCCUUGUCUUCACCGGAUGGCAUGCCGAAACUCAUGCACGUGAAAGCCAAGAACAAAAGGGCAUUCCUGGCAUCGGUCAAUAUAUAUAUGUGGAAACAAUAUCUCCACUAUAGAGGACAAGAAAUUUUGGGACAGUCAGGCAAAAAGCAUCACGGGAAAAUGAAGUACUUUCAAGGACUUCCAUAGAAUGGACCGAUGUUCACUAUAACGGUCAUAACUUUGUCAUUCGGAGUCCUUCGGGCCCACAAGUAAUCAAACUGCUCGCGGCAAGCGUGCGAAUCCAGAAAUUACUCCCGGCUUGUGCAUGGAGCCCUGAAAUACCCUCAAAUUCGGCCUUAAGCAGGACUUUUUGGCCCUGAGAGUCAAAGAACAUCAUUCGCCGUUGUUUUGCGGACAAGUUUUUGAACCCAUUGGCACUUCCUUUUGAAGGAAAUUCGAGAGAUUAUGUUGCUCAUAGACAUUAGCGCCCCUAGUAGUGACAAAUGUAGCUUUCUACAGAUGCUCUAUCAUUCGGGCAAUCUCCUUUGGCCGUAAAUUGAAGAAAAUCCUACGUCUAUAUACCUUAUUCUCCUUAUUAUCAGCGGAUGGCAUGUCGUAACUCAUGCUUGUGAAAGCCAAGAACAAAAGGGCAUUCCUAGCAUCGGUCAAUAUAUAUUUGGAAACAAUAUCUUCACUAUAGAGGACAAGAAAUUUUGGGGUGGUCAGGCAAAAUGCGUCACGGGAAAAUGAAGUACUUUCAAGGACUUCCACAGAAUGGACCGAUGUUCACUAAAAUGGUCAUAACUUUGUCAUUCGGAGUCCUUCGGACCCACAAGGAAUGAAACUGCUCGCGGCGAGCGUGCGAAUCCAGAAAUUACUCCCGGCAUGUGCCUGCAGGCCCGAAGUACCCUCAAAUUCGGCCUUAAGCAGGACUUUUUGGCCCUGAAAGUCAAAGAACAUCAUUCACCGCUGUUUUUCGGACAAGUUUCUGAACCCAUUAGCACUUCCUUUUGAAGGAAAUUCGAUAGAUUAUGUUGCUCAUAGACAUUAGCACCCCUGGUAGGGACAAACGUAGCUUUCUACAGAUACUCUAUGAUCCGGGCAAUCUCAUUUGGCCGUAAAUUGAAGAAAAUCUUGCGGCUAUAUGCCUUAUUCUCCUUGUUUUCACUGGAUGGCAUGCUGAAACUCAUGCGCGUGAAAGCCAAGAACAAAAGGGCAUUCCUGGCAUCGGUCAAUAUAUAUAUGUGUAAACAAUAUCUCCACUAUAGAGGACAAGAAAUUUCGGGGCGGUCAGGAAAAAAGCGUCACUGGAAAAUGAAGUACUUUGAAGGACUUCCAUAGAAUGGACCGAUGUUCACUAAAACGGUCAUAACUUUGUCAUUCGGAGUCCUUCAGGCCCACAAGUAAUCAAACUGCUCAUGGCAAGCGUGCGAAUCCAAAAAUUACUCCCGGCUUGUGCAUGGAGCCCCGAAAUACCCUCAAAUUCGGCCUUAAGCGGGACUUUUUGGCCCUGAGAGUCAAAGAACAUCAUUCGCCGCUGUUUUGCGGACAAGUUUUUGAACCCAUUGGCACUUCCUUUUGAAGGAAAUUCGAGAGAUUAUGUUGCUCCUAGACAUUAGCGCCCCUGGUAGGUACAAACAUAGCUUUCUGCAAAUGCUCUAUGAUUCGGGCAAUCUCCUUUGGCUGUAAAUUGAAGACAAUCCUCCGGCUAUAUGCCUUUUUCUCCUUAUUAUCACCGGAUGGCAUGUCGUAACUCAUCCGUGUGAAAGCCAAGAACAAAAGGGCAUUCCUAGCAUCGGUCAGUAUAUAUGUGGAAACAAUAUCUCCACUAUAGAGGACAAGAAAUUUCGGGGCGGUCAGGCAAAAAACAUCACGGGAAGAUGAAGUACUUUCAAGGAGUGCCAUAGAAUGGACUGAUGUUCACUAAAACGGUCAUAACUUUGUCAUUCGGAGUUGGUGUCGGACCCACAAGUACUCAAACUGCUCGCGGCGAGCAUGCGGAUCCAGAAAAUACUAUCUUCUUGCAUUAGGAGACCUAGAGUACCCUCAAAUUCAGCCUUAAGCAGGACGUUUUGGCCCUGAGAGUCAAAGAAUAUCAUUCGCCGUUGUUUUUCGGACAAGUUUGUGAACCCAUUGGCACUUCCUUUUGAAGGAAAUUCGAGAGAUUAUGUUGCUCAUAGACAUUAGCACCCUUGGUAGGGACAAACAUAGCUUUCUACAGAUACUCUACGAUCCGGGCAAUCUCAUUUGGCCAUAAAUUGAAGAAAAUCUUGCGGCUAUAUGCCUUAUUCUCCUUGUUUUCACCGGAUGGCAUGCUGAAACUCAUGCGCAUGAAAGCCAAGAACAAAAGGGAAUUCCUGGCAUCGGUCAAUAUAUAUGUGGAAAUAAUAUCUCCACUAUAGAGGAUAAGAAAUUUUGGGGCGGUUAGGCAAAAAGCUUCACGGGAAAAUGAAGUACUUUCAACGACUGCCAUAGAAUGGACCGAUGUUCACUAAAUCGGUCAUAGCUUUGUCAUUCAGGGUCCAUGUCGGGACCACAAGUACCCAAACUGCUCGCGCGAGCGUGCGAAUCCAGAAAAUACUCCGGAUUGCGCCUGGAGGCCCGAAGUACCCUCAAAUUCGGCUUUAAGCAGGACUUUUUGGCCCUGAAAGUCAAAGAACAUCAUUCGUUGCGGUUUUUCGGACAAGUUUCUGAAUCCAUUGGCACUUCCUUUUGAAGGAAAUUCAAGAGGUGAUGUUGCUCAUAGACAUUGGCACCCCUGGUAGGGACAUACCUAGAUUUCUCCAGAUGCUAUAUGAUUCGGGCAAUUUCAUUUGGCCGUAAAUUGAAGAAAAUCCUGCGGCUAUAUGCCUUAUUCUCCUUGUUUUCACCGGAUGAUAUGCUGUAACUCAUGCGUGUGAAAGCCAAGAACAAAAGGGCAUUCCUGGCAUCGGUCAAUAUAUAUGUGGAAACAAUAUCUCCACUAUAGAUGACAAGAAAUUUCGGGGCGGUCAGGCAAAAAGUGUCACGGGAAAAUGAAGUACUUUCAAGGAUUUCCAUAGAAUGGACCGAUGUUCACUAAAACUGUCAUAACUUUGUCAUUCGGAGUCCUUUGGGCCCACAAGUAAUCAAACUGCUCGCGGCGAGCGUGCGAAUCCAGAAAUUACUCCCGGCUUGUGCCUGGAGGCCCGAAGUACCCUCAAAUUCGGCCUUAAGCAGGACUUUUUGGCCCUGAAAGUCAAAGAACUUCAUUUGCCCCUAUUUUUCGGACAAGUGUUUGAACCCAUUGGCACUUCCUUUUGAAUGAAAUUCGAGAGAUUAUGUUGGUCAUAGACAUUAGUGCCCCUGGUAGGGACAAACAUAGCUUUCUUUAGAUGCUCUAUGAUUCGGGCAAUCUCCUUUGGCCGUAAAUUCAAGAAAAUCUAGCGGCUAUAUGCCUUAUUCUCCUUAUUAUCACCGGAUGGCAUGUCGUAACUCAUGCGUGUGAAAGCCAUGAAUAAAAGGGCAUUCCUAGCAUCGGUAAAUAUAUAUGUGGAAACAAUAUCUCCAGUAUAGAGGACAAGAAAUUUCGGGGCGGUCAGGCAAAAAGUGUCGCGGGAAAAUGAAGUACUUUCAAGGACUGCCAUAGAAUGCACCGAUGUUCACUAAAACGGUCAUAACUUUUUCAUUCAGGGUCCGUGUCGGGCCCACAAGUACUCAAACAGCUCGCGGCGAGCGUGCGAAUCCAGAAAAUACUCCUGGCUUGCGCCUAGAGGGCCGAAGUACCCUAAAUUCGGUCUUAAGCAGUACUUUUUGGCCCUGAAAGUCAAAGAACAUCAUUCGCCGCUGUUUUCGGACAAGUUUCUGAACCCAUUGGCACUUCCUUUUGAAGAAAAUUUGAGAGAUUAUGUUGCUCAUAGACAUUAGCGCCCAUGGUAGGGACAAACGUAGCUUUCUACAGAUACUCUACGAUUCGGGCAAUCUCAUUUGGCCGUAAAUUGAAGAAAAUCCUGCGGCUAUAUGCCUAAUUCUCCUUGUUUACACCGGAUGGCAUGCUGAAACUCAUGCGCGUGAAAGCCAAGAACAAAAGGGUAUUCCUAGCAUCGGUCAAUAUAUAUGUGGAAACAAUAUCUCCACUAUAGAGGACAAGAAAUUCCGGGGUGGUCAGGCAAAAAUCGUCACGGGAAAAUGAAGUACUUUCAAGGACUUCCAUAGAAUGGACCGAUGUUCACUAAAAACGGUCAUAACUUUGUCAUUCGGAGUCCUUCGGGCCCACAAGUAAUCAAACUGCUCGCGGCGAGCGUGCGAAUCGAGAAAUUACUCCCGGCUUGUGCCUGGAGGCCGUAAGUACCCUCAAAUUCGCCUUAAGCAGGACUUUUUGGCCCUGAAAGUCAAAGAACAUCAUUUGUCGCUGUUUUUCGGACAAGUUUUUGAACCCAUUGGCACUUCCUUUUGAAGGAAAUUCGAGAGAUUAUGUUGCUCAUAGACAUUAGCGCCCCUGGUAGGGACAAACUACCUUUUUGCAGAUGCUCUAUGAUUCGGGCAAUCUCCUUUGGCCGUAAAUUAAAGAAAAUCCUACGGCUAUAUGCCUUAUUCUCGUUAUUAUCACCGGAUGGCAUGUCGUAACUCAUGCGUGUGAAAGCCAAGAACAAAAGGGCAUUCCUGGCAUCGGUCAAUAUUUGUGUGGAAACAAUAUCUCCACUAUAGAGGACAAGAAAUUUCGGGGCGGUCAGGCAAAAAGCAUCACGGGAAAAUGAAGUACUUUCAAGGACUGCCAUAGAAUGGACCGAUGUUCACUGAAACAGUCAUAGAUUUGUCAUUCAGGGUCCGUGUCGGGCCCACAAGUACUCAAACUGCUCGCGGCAAGCGUCCAAAUCCAGAAAAUACUCCUGGUAUGCGCCUGGAGGCCCAAAGUACCCUCAAAUUCGGCCUUAAGCAGUACUUUUUGGCCCUGAAAGUCAAAGAACACCAUUCGCCGCUGUUUUCGGACAAGUUUCUGAACCCAUUGGCACUUCCUUUUGAAGGAAAUUCGAAAGAUUAUGUUGCUCAUAGACAUUAGCACCCAUGGUAGGGACAAACAUAGCUUUCUACAGAUACUCUACGAUCCGGGCAAUCUCAUUUGGCCGUAAAUUGAAGAAAAUCUUGCGGCGAUAUGCCUUAUUCUCCUUGUUUUCACCGGAUGGCAUGCUAAAACUCAUGCGCAUGAAAUCCAAGAACAAAAGGGCAUUCCUGGCAUCGGUCAAUAUAUAUGUGGAAACAAUAUCUCCACUAUAGAGGACAAGAAAUUUCGGGGCGGUCAAGCAAAAAGCGUCACGGGAAAAUGAAGUACUUUCAAGGACUUCCACAGAAUGACCCGAUGUUCACUAAAACGGUCAUAACUUUGUCAUUCGGAGUCCUUCGGGCCCACAAGUAAUCAAACUGCUCGCGGAGAGCGUGCGAAUCCAGAAAUUACUCCCGGCUUGUGCCUGGAGGCCCGAAGUACCGUCAAAUUCGGCCUUAAGCAGGACUUUUUGGCCCUGAAAGUCAAAGAACUUCAUUUGCCGCUGUUUUUUGGACAAGUUUCUGAACCCAUUGGCACUUCCUUUUGAAGGAAAUUCGAGAGAUUAUGUUGCUCAUAGACAUUAGCGCCCAUGGUAGGGACAAACAUAGCUUUUUGCAGAUGCUCUAUGAUUCGGGCAAUCUCCUUUGGCCAUAAAUUGAAGAAAAUCCUGCGGCUGCAUGCCUUAUUCUCCUUAUUAUCACCGGAUGGCAUGUUGUAACUCAUGCGUGUGAAAGCCAAGAACAAAAGGGCAUUCCUAGCAUCGGUUAAUAUAUAUAUGGAAACAAUAUCUCCACUAUAGAGGACAAGAAAUUUCGGGGCGGUCAGGCAAAAAGUGUCACGGGAAAAUGAAGUACUUUCAAGGACUGCCAAACAAUGGAGCGAUGUUCACUAAAACGGUCAUAGCUUUGUCAUUCAGGGUCCGUGUCGGGCCCACAAGUACUCAAACUGCUCGCGGCCAGCGUGCAAAUCCAGAAAUUACUCCCGGCUUGUGCCUGGAGGCCCAAAGUACCCUCAAAUUCGGCCUUAAGCAUGACUUUUUGGCCCUGAAAGUCAAAGAACAUAAUCCGCCUCUGUUUUUCGGACAUGUUUUUGAACCCAUUGGCACUUCCUUUUGAAGGAAAUUCGAGAGAUUAUGUUGCUCAUAGACAUUAGCUCCCUUGGUAGGGACAAACUACCUUUCUGCAGAUGCUCUAUGAUUCGGGCAAUCUCCUUUGGCCGUAAAUUGAAGAAAAUCCUGCGGCUAUAUGCCUUAUUCUCCUUAUUAUCACCGGAUGGCAUGUCGUAACUCAUGCACGUGAAAGCCAAGAACAAAAGGGCAUUCCUAGAAUCGGUCAAUAUAUAUGUGGAAACAAUAUCUCCACUAUAGAGGACAAGAAAUUUCGGGGCGGUUAGGCAAAAAGCGUCACGGGAAAAUGAAGUACUUUCAAGGACUGCCAUAGAAUGGACCGAUCUUCACUAAAACGGUCAUAGCUUUGUCAUUCAGGGUCCGUGUCGGGCCCACAAGUACUCAAACUGCUCACGGCGAGCGUGCGAAUCCAGAAAAUACUCCCGGCUUGCGCUUGGAGGCCCAAAGUACCCUCAAAUUCGGCCUUAACAGGACUUUUUGGCCUUGAAAGUCAAAGAACAUCAUUCGCCGCUAUUUUUCGGACAAAUUUCUGAGCCCAUUGGCACAUCCUUUUGAAGGAAAUUCGAGAGAUUAUGUUGCUCAGAGACAUUAGCGCCCAUGGUAGGGACCAUCGUAGCUUUCUACAGAUACGCUACGAUCCGGGCAAUCUCAUUUGGCCGUAAAUUGAAGAAAAUCUUGCGGCUAUAUGCCUUAUUCUCCUUGUUUUCACCGGAUGGCAUGCUAAAACUCAUGCGCGUGAAAUCUAAGAACAAAAGGGCAUUCCUGGCAUCGGUCAAUAUAUAUGUGGAAACAAUAUCUCCACUACAGAGGACAAGAAAUUUUGGGGCGGUUAGGCAAAAAGUUUCACGGGAAAAUGAAGUAAUUUCAACGACUGCCAUAGAAUGGACCGAUGUUCACUAAAACGGUCAUAGCUUUGCCAUUCAGUGUCCAUGUCGGGACCACAAGUACCCAAACUGCUCGCGGCGAGCGUGGGAAUCCAGAAAAUACUCCCGGCUUGCGCCUGGAGGCCCGAAGUACCCUCAAAUUCGGCCUUAAGCAGGAUUUUUUGGCCCUGAAACUCAAACAACAUCAUUCGUUGCGGUUUUUCGGACAAGUUUCUGAACCCAUUGGCACUUCCUUUUGAAGGAAAUUCAAGAGGUGAUGUUGCUCAUAGACAUUGGCACCCCUGGUAGGGACAUACCUAGAUUUCUCUAGAUGCUAUAUGAUUCGGGCAAUUUCAUUUGGCCGUAAAUUGAAGAAAAUCCUGCGGCUAUAUGCCUUAUUCUCCUUGUUUUCACCGGAUGAUAUGCUGUAACUCAUGCGUGUGAAAGCCAAGAACAAAUGGGCAUUCCUGGCAUCGGUCAAUAUAUAUGUGGAAACAAUAUCUCCACUAUAGAUGACAAGAAAUUUCGGGGCGGUCAGGCAAAAAGUAUCAUGGGAAAAUGAAGUACUUUCAAGGACUUCCAUAGAAUGGACUGAUGUUCACUAAAACUGUCAUAACUUUGUCAUUCGGAGUCCUUCGGGCCCACAAGUAAUCAAACUGCUCGCGGCGAGCGUGCGAAUCCAGAAAUUACUCCCGGCUUGUGCCUGGAGGCCCGAAGUACCCUCAAAUUCGGCCUUAAGCAGGACUUUUUGGCCCUGAAAGUCAAAGAACUUCAUUUGCCCCUAUUUUUCGGACAAGUGUUUGAACCCAUUGGCACUUCCUUUUGAAUGAAAUUCGAGAGAUUAUGUUGCUCAUAGACAUUAGUGCCCCUGGUAGGGACAAACAUAGCUUUCUGUAGAUGCUCUAUGAUUCGGGCAAUCUCCUUUGGCCGUAAAUUCAAGAAAAUCUAGCGGCUAUAUGCCUUAUUCUCCUUAUUAUCACCGGAUGGCAUGUCGUAACUCAUGCGUGUGAAAGCCAUGAACAAAAGGGCAUUCCUAGCAUCGGUAAAUAUAUAUGUGGAAACAAUAUCUCCAGUAUGGAGGACAAGAAAUUUCGGGGCGGUCAGGCAAAAAGUGUCACGGGAAAAUGAAGUACUUUCAAGGACUACCAUAGAAUGGACCGAUGUUCACUAAAACGGUCAUAACUUUUUCAUUCAGGGUCCGUGUCGGGCCGACAAGUACUCAAACUGCUCGCGGCGAGCGUGCGAAUCCAGAAAAUACUCCUGGCUUCCGCCUAGAGGGCCGAAGUACCCUCAAAUUCGGCCUUAAGCAGUACUUUUUGGCCCUGAAAGUCAAAGAACAUCAUUCGCCGCUCUUUUCGGACAAGUUUCGGAACCCAUUGGCACUUCCUUUUGAAGGAAAUUUGAGAGAUUAUGUUGCUCAUAGACAUUAGCGCCCAUGGUAGGGACAAACGUAGCUUUCUACAGAUACUCUACGAUUCGGGCAAUCUCAUUUGGCCGUAAAUUGAAGAAAAUCCUGCGGCUAUAUGCCUUAUUCUCCUUGUUUACACCGGAUGGCAUGCUGAAACUCAUGCGCGCGAAAGCCAAGAACAAAAGGGCAUUCCUAGCAUUGGUCAAUAUAUAUGUGGAAACAAUAUCUCCACUAUAGAGGACAAGAAAUUCUGGGGUGGUCAGGCAAAAAGCGUCACGGGAAAAUGAAGUACUUUCAAGGACUUCCAUAGAAUGGACCGAUGUUCACUAAAAACGGUCAUAACUUUGUCAUUCGGAGUCCUUCGGGCCCACAAGUAAUCAAACUGCUCGCGGCGAGCAUGCGAAUCGAGAAAUUACUCCCGGCUUGUGCCUGGAGGCCGUAAGUACCCUCAAAUUCAGCCUUAAGCAGGACUUUUUGGCCCUGAAAGUCAAAGAACAUCAUUUGUCGCUGUUUUUCGGACAAGUUUUUGAACCCAUUGGCAUUUCCUUUUGAAGGAAAUUCGAGAGAUUAUGUUGCUCAUAGACAUUAGCGCCCCUGGUAGGGACAAACUACCUUUCUACAGAUGCUCUAUGAUUCGGGCAAUCUCCUUUGGCCGUAAAUUGAAGAAAAUCCUACGGCUAUAUGCCUUAUUCUCGUUAUUAUCACCGGAUGGCAUGUCGUAACUCAUGCGUGUGAAAGCCAAGGACAAAAGGGCAUUCCUAGCAUCGGUCAAUAUUUAUGUGGAAACAAUAUCUCCACUAUAGAGGACAAGAAAUUUCGGGGCGGUCAGGCAAAAAGCGUCACGGGAAAAUGAAGUACUUUCAAGGAGUGCCAUAGAAUGGACCGAUGUUCACUAAAACAGUCAUAGCUUUGUCAUUCAGGGUCCGUGUCGGGCCCACAAGUACUCAAACUGCUCGCGGCAAGCGUCCAAAUCCAUAAAAUACUCCUGGCUUGCGCCUGGAGGCCCGAAGUACCCUCAAAUUCGGCCUUAAGCAGGACUUUUUGGCCCUGAAAGUCAAAGAACAUCAUUCGCCGCUGUUUUCGGACAAGUUUCUGAAUCCAUUGGCACUUCCUUUUGAAGGAAAUUCGAGAUAUUAUGUUGCUCAGAGACAUUAGCACCCAUGGUAGGGACGAACGUAGCUUUCUACAGAUACUCUAAGAUCCGGGCAAUCUCAUUUGGCCGUAAAUUGAAGAAAAUCUUGCGGCUAUAUGCCUUAUUCUCCUUGUUUUCACCGGAUGGCAUGCUAAAACUCAUGUGCGUGAAAUCCAAGAACAAAAGGGCAUUCCUGGCAUCGGUCAAUAUAUAUGUGGAAACAAUAUCUCCACUAUAGAGGACAAGAAAUUUCGGGGCGGUCAGGCAAAAAGCGUCACGGGAAAAUGAAGUACUUUCAAGGACUUCCACAGAAUGACCCGAUGUUCACUAAAACGGUCAUAACUUUGUCAUUCGGAGUCCUUCGGGCCCACAAGUAAUCAAACUGCUCGCGGAGAGCGUGCGAAUCCAGAAAUUACUCCCGGCUUGUGCCUGGAGGCCCGAAGUACCCUCAAAUUCGGCCUUAAGCAGGACUUUUUGGCCCUGAAAGUCAAAGAACUUCAUUUGCCGCUGUUUUUGGACAAGUUUCUGAACCCAUUGGCACUUCCUUUUGAAGAAAAUUUGAGAGAUUAUGUUGCUCAUAGACAUUAGCGCCCAUGGUAGGGACAAACAUAGCUUUCUGCAGAUGCUCUAUGAUUCGGUCAAUCUCCUUUGGCCGUAAAUUGAAGAAAAUCCUGCGGCUGCAUGCCUUAUUCUCCUUAUUAUCACCGGAUGGCAUGUUGUAACUCAUGCGUGUGAAAGCCAAGAACAAAAGGGCAUUCCUAGCAUCGGUUAAUAUAUAUAUGGAAACAAUAUCUCCACUAUAGAGGAGAAGAAAUUUUGGGGCGGUCAGGCAAAAAGUGUCAUAGAAAAAUGAAGUACUUUCAAGGACUGCUGAACAAUGGACCGAUGUUCACUAAAAUGGUCAUAGCUUUGUCAUUCAGGGUCCGUGUCGGGCCCACAAGUACUCAAACUGCUCGCGGCCAACGUGCGAAUCCAAAAAUUACUCCCGGCUUGUGCCUGGAGGCCCGAAGUACCCUCAAAUUCGGCCUUAAGCAUGACUUUUUGGCCCUGAAAGUCAAAGAACAUAAUUCACCGCUAUUUUUCGGACAUGUUUUUGAACCCAUUGGCACUUCCUUUUGAAGGAAAUUCGAGAGAUUAUGUUGCUCAUAGACAUUAGCUCCCUUGGUAGGGACAAACUACCUUUCUGCAGAUGCUCUAUGAUUCGGGCAAUCUCCUUUGGCCGUAAAUUGAAGAAAAUCCUGCGGCUAUAUGCCUUAUUCUCCUUAUUAUCACUGGAUGGCAUGUCGUAACUCAUGCGCGUGAAAGCCAAGAACAAAAGGGCAUUCCUAGAAUCGGUCAAUAUAUAUGUGGAAACAAUAUCUCCACUAUAGAGGACAAGAAAUUUCGGGGCGGUUAGGCAAAAAGCGUCACGGGAAAAUGAAGUACUUUCAAGGACUGCCAUAGAAUGGACCGAUCUUCACUAAAACGGUCAUAGCUUUGUCAUUCAGGGUCCGUGUCGGGCCCACAAGUACUCAAACUGCUCGCGGCGAGCGUGCGAAUCGAAAAAAUACUCCCGGCUUGCGCUUGGAGGCCCGAAGUACCCUCAAAUUCGGCCUUAACAGGACUUUUUGGCCUUGAAAGUCAAAGAACAUCAUUCGCCGCUGUUUUUCGGACAAAUUUCUGAGCCCAUUGGCACUUCCUUUUGAAGGAAAUUCGAGAGAUUAUGUUGCUCAGAGACAUUAGCGCCCAUGGUAGGGACCAACGUAGCUUUCUACAGAUACGCUACGAUCCGGGCAAUCUCAUUUGGCCGUAAAUUGAAGAAAAUCUUGCGGCUAUAUGCCUUAUUCUCCUUGUUUUCACUGGAUGGCAUGCUAAAACUCAUGCGCGUGAAAUCUAAGAACAAAAGGGCAUUCCUGGCAUCGGUCAAUAUAUAUGUGGAAACAAUAUCUCCACUACAGAGGAUAAGAAAUUUCAGGGUGGUCAGGCAAAAAGCUUCACGGGAAAAUGAAGUACUUUCAAGGACUUCCAUAGAAUGACCCGAUGUUCACUAAAACGGUCAUAACUUUGUCAUUCGGAGUCCUUCGGGCCCACAAGUAAUCAAACUGUUCACGGAGAGCGUGUGAAUCCGAAAUUACUCCCGGCUUGUGCCUGGAGGCCCGAAGUACCCUCAAAUUCGGCCUUAAGCAGGACUUUUUGGCCCUGAAAGUCAAAGAACAUCAUUCGCCGCUAUUUUUUGGACAAGUUUCUGAACCCAUUGGCACUUCCUUUUGAAGGAAAUUCGAGAGAUUAUGUUGCUCACGGGCAUUAGUGCCCAUGGUAGGGACAAACGUAGCUUUCUGUAGAUGCUCUAUGAUUCGGGCAAUCUCCUUUGGCCGUAAAUUGAAGAAAAUCAUGCGGCUAUAUGCCUUAUUCUCCUUAUUAUCACCGGAUGGCAUGUCGUAACUCAUGCGUGUGAAAGCCAAGAACAAAAGGGCAUUCCUAGCAUCGGUUAAUAUAUAUGUGGAAACAAUAUCUCCACUAUAGAGGACAAGAAAUUUCGGGGUGGUCAAGCAAAAAGCAUCACGGGAAAAUGAAGUACUUUCAAGGACUGCCAUAGAAUGGACCGAUGUUCACUAAAACGGUCAUAACUUUGUCAUUCGGAGUCGGUGUCGGACCCACAAGUACUCAAACUGCUCGUGGCGAGUGUGCGGAUCCAGAAAAUACUCGCUGCUUGCGUUAGGAGACCCGGACUACCCUCAAAUUUGGCCUUAAGCAGGACUUUUUGGGCCUAAAAGUCAAAGAACAUCAUUCGCCGCUAUUUUUCGGACAAGUUUCUGAACCCAUUGGCACUUCCUUUUGAAGGAAAUUCGUGAGAUUAUGUUGCUCAUAGACAUUAGCGCCCCUGGUAGGGACAAACGUAGAUUUCUAUAGAUACUUCAUGAACUGGGAUAUCUCAUUUGGCCGUAAAUUGAAGAAAAUCUUGCAGCUAUAUGCCUUAUCACUACUAGGGAAAAGGCUAGCAGCAACGCGGGUUUUAGGUGUAUCAGUAGCGUGGGGGAAGGUGCCACUAAUAAGGCGCUACAGCUAACACAAAGCAGUAGCGCGUGCUCACUGGCGCUACUGCUACACAAGUGUAGCAGCAGCGCGGUUUGUGGGAGCUCGCUACUGCUAAUAGCUCUAGCGCUCUUUGCCUGGACGUGCUACUGCUAUCGCGGCGCUGCUGCUAUCUUUUAUACACUCGCUACUACUAAUUUAAGUAGUUUUUUGUUUUUUCGGCAUAUUUGUUUUGUAUUUGAACAGGCUUUAUAGAAGAAUCUUUAGCACAUAGAAAUAUCAUCAUGAUACACAUACAAAUGCUUGCGAGACCACAAAUGUAAUCAUAGCAUAUACAUACAAAUAGUCUCAUCAUAAUCAUCAUCCAACACAAAGUGAUAUCUUGUCAUCAUCUCGAAAAUAGCGAUACAUGCAAGUCUCGAAUACUUGCAACUACAACAACGUCAUCCAUCUAAACAAAGGUAUACGCAAGAAGUGCUAUCACUAUGAGUGAGAGCGGAACUAUGCAGUACAUGAGGUGGCGGUUACGAGUCCUCUCUCGCGCUAGCGUGAACCUCAAGUAACUAGCUUCUCCUUCUUGUUUGCUUUUGAAGCCUUUAUGGCUGGCGCCCGUGAACCCAUUCACUUGCGCCUGACACUCAUGCCACUCGUUGUACACCCCCGAAACCUUCCCUUUGUACACGACAUAGCAAUUCCAUCUCGCCAUCAAGAAACUAGGUACCUGUUAGAGAUGCAUGUUCAUGAAGAGGAUGUACAAUCAUAUAUAUGCAACAAAAUAUACUAGAGCAACACCGAAAAAGAAAGGGUUAGCAACUAGAUGCAACAUACAAUAAGCAAAUUAAUUAACUAGAGGUACGCUAGUCAUCGUACGCAAACUAACAGAGUAGCGUUACGCAAGUUCGGCAGGGACCAUGGACAUCACAAAGUUUCAUCGCUACAAAACGUAUACAAGUUCAACCGACACAUAUCAUCAUCAUCGGCAUCAUAAAUCACUAGAAGUUCCAUCCUUCCAUAUCAUCGAGGAUGAACCCUAGCUUCUUGAACGGCGUGAGGUCUAGACGUUGCAUGCCUAUGCGAGUUCGGACGUCAGCUCGCGAUAUAGGGCCGUGGUGGAACACCCCCUUCUCAUCGAUGACUUCUUUCAUGAUGAUCGUCGCAAUGUCACUUUGGAUGCGAAAGAAGUCAUCUCUAAGUUUAUAAUCCGCUUCUCCAUGAGAUUCUAGCCACUUGUGGAUAUGAUCAUCAUUUCUGCUUGUCAUGCGAAGCUUUUGGUGAUCCAUGUUGAACUGAAUCAUGAGAUGGAAAAUGUAGAAUCCAUCCUUCUUGCUUGGUUUUGGGACAUGGAUGCAGGAGAAGUUAGUUUUAUGCACAAAACCCAUCUUCUUGUUCCUUUCUUUCCCGAUCUGCACGUGGCCACCUCUAAAGCUAAAGCCUUGGAGAGCAUCAUCUAGAAUAUUCAUUAUGUGGGUGUAGUCCUUUUUCUCGUAGUCUCUGGAAGGGUUAAAAUACACGGCGUGGGAGACUUGCGGGUAAAGAACGAUAAGGACGACGCGCCCGUUGCUGCGGGGAAAAGACACCUCAAAUUAUUCCCCAUAUGAGAGAGAAGGAAUGAUUGAAAUGUAUGAAAGGGUUGUCCGAAACUGACUUACUUUGGAUGAUAAGGCACGAGGACAAUUUCCGGGUCCUUAUUCUGUACCAUGAACUUUUGGAGGUACUCCCUAGCAGUUUCACGCUCAAAGUCGCCGAGACUCAAGAAAGACUCGUGCAUGUAGUACGGAUCCGCCACACAGAUUUGCGAGACUUCUUCACUCUUCAUGACGAAGCUCAUAUGUAGCGCAAAAAGGCGGACGAUAGUAAAAUCGAGCCGCCUUGUUAGAAACAUCUCAAAGAUAUGGUCAAACCGCAGGAAGAACACCUCCGCGGGCCGUGUGUCGACGUAGCACUUCCCCUCAGGCACACGAGCCGCAUAUGUCGGAUAUCCUAGAUCCUUUGAGGCUACUAGGCUUUUCUCAGUCGACAGCACAUGGUCGUGCAGUCUCCUGAGAUCCCCUGAUAGUGCCUCCAGCGGUUUUGGCGGUAGCAUUGGCUCGCCCGUGAGAUGGAACAUGACCGCACCUUUCACGGGUACACGCUCUUCAGAAUGCAUCGUCUGGCUGCUAUGUGCUCUGGCUUGUUUGGAGGCAGUUACCUUCCCCGAUCUCUUCCUCUCCUUUUUCUUGGGCACACCUUCCAGACCCUUCCUUAACCCGUGCCCCAGUGUUCCCGGGCUAAGUACUGUAUGAUCCUUGCUCCCGGCUAGUUGAGCAUGUGUUGAGGCGGCAUCUUCAGGCGUGUCCUAUGAGGAUUUCAUGAAGAGAGACUUUUUGCAAUCCCUGCUACGACCCUGCCCGGGCAUAUCAUCCAUAUCCUCAUUAGCAAGAUGAUAGCCCGAUUCGUCAUAUGGUUGACUCAUCAUAUCUAUGUCACAGUCAUAUGCGUUUCUAUUGAUGAAAUCCAUAGGGUCGACCUCUGCCUCAUCAUCCAUUCUUUGUUCUACAGGAGAAAUUACAUCAGCCAGUACUAUUGCACCCCCUUCAUCAUGUUGUCCGCCGCUCUCACCCGGCACUACAGGAGCUGGUAAUUGCGUAGGCAGGGUGGUGGUCUCCGCACAUGCUUGUUGAUGUGUGGUAGUUAUUGGUGUGCUCUCGGCCGGCUCCAAACGAAUAAGAUUCUUCGGCCAUAGCAGCACCCAAUUCUUGCAGCUUCCAAUCCGCGGCGGGGUCUUGUCGUCCGCUCCCACAUGCUGUACUGGAGGAGGCAAAUCCUCGUGCCCCGAUUACACACUGGUCAAGCUAACCCUGAAGUGCCCAGUGGGGAUCGGCUGGUUGUGGAACGUGCGUUGCGAGGGGUCCAUUAGCAUCCCCUUUCCCACGUCCACCUUCUGGCCUUUGAUCAAGUAGAGUAUGGUGCACGGGGUUUCUUUCGCCUGCAAACACAUAUGUCUGUGGCGUAAAACAACCGAAAGGCAACAAAAAUGGAAUAUUAUAUAUAUAUAUAUAUAUAUAUAUAUAUAUAUAUAUAUGUUGGUGCGACAUGUAAUUACCAUGACGGCGUCGAGCUCAGCCAAAGACGAAGGCCCACCUAGCGCGCCUGAGACUGAGGACGGGCUGCUAUGAGUGGGAGCGGCUGUGAGAGGAGGCCCGGUUGCGUGAGCAAGUGAUGGUGCGAUGGUGUUGUUGUUCAUGGAGUUGCUCCCGACGAAACUGGGCAACAGGAAAUCAUGUACCGUCUUGUCUGGAUUUUCCUUCGUCCAGUUGAUGAUAACUGGAACCAAGUUAGUAGCAAAAUCAUUUCUGCAGGCAGUUACAGCUGCAUUGACUGCCUGAUGUAGCAACUCAUAUUUGUCCUCGGCUGCUUUUUUCGCGUCCUCAGCUGCUUUUUUCUUGACCGCAAGCUUCACCUUCGUGUCGAUGUCCGCCUUAUCCCAUAUGAACUUCGCGAAGGGGUCUGGGAGACCAGCGGCUUCACGUUUCGCGUCCUCCUAUACCAUAUGGGCCUUUUACCGAGGUAGCCACGGCUUCCAGGGCGAUGCUUCCUCGUGUUCCUUUGCUGAAGGCUCUUGAAUUUCACAGCCUUAGCCUUGGCUGCCUCGGUAGCGCAAGUGUCCUUGAACUUUUCGAACUCCUCUUCCGUAAGUGUCGGAUUUUCCUCCAGAAUCUUGGACAGGGGUUCAUCAGCCUCAAUAGCUUGUUUCACCCUCCCUUUCCAGGAGGCCAAAUCAUUGCUGAACAUGCCCAUGGCGUGAUUGUUAAUCUUUUUCAUUUUCGGAUCAUCCCACGGUUGUUCUAUGUUAUCAUCCCGGUCGGGGAACUUGAAUCUCUUGUGCAACUUCGUUAGGAGCAACUACGUCAAAUGUUCUUUACUCCUUAAGUCAUCGUCGUUGAUGCUCGCGCAUUCUCGUAGGAUGCAUCCUACUUGGUUCCCAUAGCACUUGCGAGGUUCUUCCAGCUCUUACGGCUCAAACUUGCCAGGUGCCAUCUUUGUGAUCACAAGUCGUCCAAUCCCUAGUUUGUUAGGUUUUCGUAUCCUCUGCUUCUUAUGCUUCCUCUUUUCGGUAGCGGCAUCGGGGCCGGUACCUUCCCCGCCGGUACCUUCCCCACCGGUCUCGGUGCCGCCAUCGGUGCGGCGCCGUCGGUGUCGAUGUCGGCGUCAGUACCAUCAUCGAGGCCAACCUGCAAACCUUGCUUAGCAGUCAAAUAGUCGAGGUACUCUUGUUCACCCUCAUAAUCCAUCUCGUCUGCAUCUUGGUCAGAAGGCCCAUUUUCUUCGUUGUUUGACAUGUUUCCUAUGAUUAAGUGUCCUCAUUUAUUUCUAAAAGUAUGAAUAAAUUAGAAAUGACAUAAAAAGAAAUCUAUGUGCCAGCACUCGAUAUGCCAACUAUGUAGCACAAAUCAUGCCUUUAUUAACGGGAAAUUUCGGCAUGACCUUUGCUAAAAAAUGGACAUAUCGAGCGCCUGAAAUUCACCGGAACGGAAAUGAAUCAACAUUCCGGCGUAACAUAGGCCACUCGGAUCAUUUUCCAAACAUGACAUGUCCAAAACAUGACAUAUGCAUGUAUCACAUGUCCAGUUCAAAUUUGCAUAUAAAUUCAGCUAAUUUUGAAACCUAGCUAAAUUCAUAACUAAAUAGAAAACCUAAGUAAAUUAACCGAAGAACCCUAGCAGAGAGAGGAGGGGUUUACAGAGGGUGCAGGGGCGAGGAGGCAGGCCCGAGGACGGCCGGGAGGGGAGAGGAGGGAGGCGAGGGCCGACGGCUCAGGGGCGAGCGCGCCGGGGUCGGGAGCGAGCGCCGACGCCGGGGUCGGGGGCGAGGGACGGNNNNNNNNNNNNNNNNNNNNNNNNNNNNNNNNNNNNNNNNNNNNNNNNNNNNNNNNNNNNNNNNNNNNNNNNNNNNNNNNNNNNNNNNNNNNNNNNNNNNNNNNNNNNNNNNNNNNNNNNNNNNNNNNNNNNNNNNNNNNNNNNNNNNNNNNNNNNNNNNNNNNNNNNNNNNNNNNNNNNNNNNNNNNNNNNNNNNNNNNNNNNNNNNNNNNNNNNNNNNNNNNNNNNNNNNNNNNNNNNNNNNNNNNNNNNNNNNNNNNNNNNNNNNNNNNNNNNNNNNNNNNNNNNNNNNNNNNNNNNNNNNNNNNNNNNNNNNNNNNNNNNNNNNNNNNNNNNNNNNNNNNNNNNNNNNNNNNNNNNNNCCGGGGUCGGGGGCGAGGGCCGGGUCGGGGGCGAGCGCCGGGGUCGGGGGCGAGCGCCGGUGCCGGAGUCGGGGGCGAGCGCCGGGGCCGGGUAGGGCAUGGCGGUGCGACGGGGGAAGAGAGAGUGGGGAUUUGGGGGGAAAGGCGGGAUGAAGCAGGUCGAGUGAGAAUUUUGGGUUAAGUGGACGUAGCAGUAGUGCAUUUGGAUAAAACGCGCUGCUACUACCUUCAGUAUCUGUAGUGCUUUAUACGAAAUGCGCUACUACUAACUUCAGUAGCUGUAGCGGUUUAGACAAAACGCGCUGCUACUACCUUUGCUACUUGCCAGUUUCCCUUUUUCUUUUCCUUUAUUUUAUCCCACUUUUAUUUCCCGAGGGCAGUGAACGAAGGGAGGGCGAUAUAUAUUGCAUCAUUUGAUGGUUAAAUAUGUAUGCAAAAUAGGAACAUAUAUAUUACAUCAUUGGACCCAUGCAUAAUAAUGGCUAAGUGUGUAUACAAAAUAGGAACAUAUAUAUAUAUAUUACAUCAUUUGACCGAUAACAUACGGUUCCUCAGUGCUGACGUUUUCGUUUUUGAGUCAGCCUCUUUCCCUUCUUGUUCAUCGAAGAAUAAUUGAGCCUCUGAUUGUGACUUUGCCUUUUCCAUGGAGUACGAUUUUUCUUAGGUAAUGUAGCAUCACACUGAUCGACUUUUGAGAGGUGACUUCAAAAAAGUUGCAGAGACCAAUAAGCGUGUCACGGACGUGCUUGUCCAUUAUCCCUCUAAAGGCAACAAGUAGUAUCUGUGUCAUCAUCACAUGACAGUCAUGAGACUUCAUCCCGCUGAACCUUUUCUUGUUCGUGUCUAGAUAUCUGCUUAUCUUGCCACAGUAACCGGAACUAACAUUGACUCCGGUAAGGCACUUAAAGAAGGCAUUGAUCUCAGCCUGACUUAAGGUGAAGCAAGAAGGGGGGCAAUAAUCCUCUUUCUUUAUUUUCUUGCCCUUCUUCUCCCGUGCCUCUGUCUCACAAGAAGGGUGGCUAUCAUUUUGGUGGAAUUGACUUUGACGAUCCGACCACGAACGUGCGAGAACGUGGCGCCUUAGCAAUCGCUAAACCAACUCCGAGAGGUUAUUGACCACGCUGGAGCAUGAUCAACCUGACCACGAAGGUCUAUUUCCUGCAAGCAAACGAAGAACCGAUGAGGACAUGACUACCUUGAAUAAGACCAAAAAUAUUGCAUACAUGCAUAUUUGUCAGGUGAUUUCUAGUGCAAACUAUUCAAUAAUCUAUUUAUGUUAUCCAGAACAAAAAUACUUCACACAUUUUUGUGUUUUGUCUAAUUGGAGGUGUAUGGGCCAUUUGUACAAUCCACAUAUGAAGAUAAGGGAAAAGGAGAAGUUUAGGUGCUGUUCAAAAAGUCCUCUCACGUCACUUUUGGGCCAAGAGAAGAUAGAGUCCAAGUCUCUCACGUUCUGGAUUCAGAUUCGGACUACACAGACAUACUUGAAUCAAAACGCCAAGAACUUUUUCAUACGGACUCUAAAUUAGGUGAUUCCUUUUUUGGUGGAACUAGAUUUUGUGCACUUUCUAACCCAAUUGGAUUCACCUUCAAAUUUGUCCGGAGCAUUGAGUUAUGGACGAAACAAUCUGAUGCUGCAGCAGAAACCGAGUUAAACUACAAGUCCAAAGGUGUUACAUCACCUCCACUUGGGCCCAUUGGCCUUAUACGACCUAGGGUUAGUUUUAUUCUGCCUUGGGACGUCCUCCCACCUCCUUGGCCGCCACCCCUUGCUCCUAUAUAAGUAGAUCCAUCUAGUAGCUUUUCCCUUGGAAUUUGUUUAGUUAAAAGUUAGCCAUUGCAACUUCGGGUACUUCGUUUGUGUCCAACGACCAGACCAAGACCGCUUACGGAUCCCCACCUUUAUCAAUACUUCAUAUAUACUCGAAAUAUUCAGAUUGCUUUUAUCAUAUUUUUGCUUGUUCUUCGAUUGCUUGCAGGAAUAGACCUUCGUGGUCAGGUUGAUUGUGCUCCGGCGUGGUCAAUAACCCUUUCGAAGUUGGUUUAGCGAUUGCUAAGGCACAACAUCGUGCAUGUUUGUAGUCGGAUCGUCAAAGUCAUCUUCACCAAAUCGAUAGUUAUCAUCUUAUAGAAAGAUCGGGACACCCUGCCUCUAUCAAGUGGUAUCAGUUUUCAGGUUGCUUGGUGAGAAUUUCCAGUUAUCUUUAGAUUAGAUUUAUUUUCUUACCUUUUGUCUAAGAAAAAGCCACAAAAAAGUUAGAUCUAUUCAUCCUUUUUCCAAGCCAGUCUGAGCCUUUUCAAUUUUCUAUUUAUUGCUUGCAUAGUUGAAUUAUCGGUUGCAUCGUCGUGUCGAGUUGCUGGUCUUAGUGUCUAGUUCGUUUAGAGUUUCGAGUUCUGUUCACAUUAGUCACGUCGCCGAUGCAUCGUUAUCCCUUCCGCUGUCCACUACAUAUCCAUCAAUUUCCAUCACGUGCUACCCACUGUUCAUUGUCAUAAUCAUAGUUGAGAUCAAUCACAUCUUCGCUUGAUCCAAUCUGCAUCUUAUCUAGUGUGUUUUGGAAAGAGUGAGAGAAAAAAGGUAGAGAAAAAAAGAGAGAAAAAAGGGAAGAAAAAAAAUAAAAAGAGAGAGAAGAAAAAGAAAAAAAAGUGUGAGAAAAAAAAGAGAGAAGAAAAAAAAUUCAGAUCAAUCUAGAAUCAAUCUCAUACCUGAAUUCGAAUUGGAAUCUGUUUUGCGCACUGUUCAGUAAAAUAGGUGUAUCUUCCUCAUACAAAGUCCAUUUUGGCCCCGUAAGUACUCAAAUUAAAGCUAGCGACGAGCCACAUCUAAAUAGUUGCAGAAGCUACUUCAAUAUUUGACACCUCAAAAUCGGCUUCUAAAUAGGUCUUUUUGCCCUCCGAAGUUUGUGAACACAACUUGUUCUAAUUUUUCAGGCUAGCUUUAGAAUUAUUUGACUCGUCAUAUCAAUUCAGAAUUGAGUGAUUCUUUUUGCAUUGGAAAUCUUGAGUUAGUACCAUUCUUUAAAAAAUUUAUCAGAAAAUUGGCUCAAACUUUUCAAGAGGAAAGUUGGAGAGAGAGUUGUGGUAUAUCCUGCUUGGCAGUUGUUUUUCAUCAUUAUCUUUACUGCCGUUGCGAUCUUCACUUAUAUCUUGCUGUCCACAGCUACUUAGUAUCCUUCAUUGAUGCCAGUUGUGCUAUGCAGUGACCUCAUUAGUGUUCUAGGCUCGCGUCUCUAGUCCGGUCUAGCCUAAGACCAGCACAGUACCGUCGUUGAGCAUUUAUUCAACAUUGCAUCUUUGAAUUGAUUAUUGCUAAUUUUUUGCUACCAUAUAUAGCCAACCCAGCUCCACAUAUUUCUACACCGUGCAUACGUACGUUUCCUUGGCAAUCGCUUUACACAAUCUUCCGAGUUAUUUGACACUGCUGGUUGCCUGUCACCACCUGCUGCAUGGUAAGAACUUGUAAGAUAUUGAUAUUUGCUAUACUGUGAGUGUUUUACCACCACAUCCUAGUAGUUCAUAGGAACAUUAUUCUCGAAUUUUGUUUCUUAUUUCUACUAAUCAUGACAGGUUCCGGAGAUAGAGGUUCUUGGAUGACGAACACAUCUCCACCAUCACGAGAGUUGGGACAACACACACAAGCACAUGGUCAGGUUAUCUCUUUACCGUCAUUUGAGGGUAGAUUUAAUCCUGCUAUUUAUCUUGCUUGGGAGCUUGAACUAGAACAAGUUUUUAGUCACCAUGACUUUUCUGAACUUGAGCAAGUACGAGCUUCCACCAGAACAUCUACUGGUUUUGCUUCUGUUUGGUGGAGUGUGCAUUGUAAGAAAAACAUUGAUAACCAACCCACAACUUGGAAAGAUUUGAAAGAUGUAAUGAUACAACAAUUUUUCCCUCCUUACUAUCAUCGUGAAUUGCUUCGCAAAUUUGAACAAUUUAAACAAGGCAACAACACUGUUCAUGCUUACUACCAAGAGUUCAAAUCUUAUAUGCAUCAUUGUGACAUAGAAGAAUCUAAGGAUGAUACAAUGAAUAGAUUUUUUGGUGGUUUGAACCAUGAUAUUCAAGCAAGAUUUCAGUAUAUUCCUCGUUGAAUUACUGGUAUGUAUGUUCGUGCUUGUACCUUUGAGAGACAGUUACAGGAGGAUGCAUUGGGUGACUACAACAAUUACUAUUCCAAUUCAUGCUCACUACCAUCUGUUGAUUCCUCCAUCGUUACACCUUCUAGAGCAGCCACACCUUAGAUUAUGAGUGCGACAUCAUCUCAAGUGUAUGGUAUAUUGCCAUUGUCCAUACCUACAUCAGCUACAUCUUUGCGACAAGGUAACAGUAAAGGUAUUGAUGAUAUAAUUUCACAUGAGAAUGAUGCAUGCCUAAUUAACUUAAAUACAUCAUGUGUUGAGUUACCUGUUGAUUUGAGCACGCCACCUAGUUUAGAGAAUCAUGUUACUAUCAUUAAUGCAUCAUGUGAUCAAACAACUGAAAUACCAACAAUUUUGACUGUGCCCAUUGAAUUAACUGUUGAUGUCAAAGAACCAUGUGCUCAGGAAAUAAUUCAGAUUUGGAUCAAAUACAUUUUAAAAUAAUUGUGCCAAUGUUUAGUCAUUUUGAUAUGACCUCUAACCUUGGUGAUCACUCUGUGUCGAAUGACUUAUUGCACGUUUUCUUAUUUAAGCAUGUUGUAGCAUGUAAAUUUGAUGCACGUAAGGUUUAUUCACCAAUGUUGGGAUGGUUUAAUGAUGAAUGUUGCCAAUCUUUUGAUAUGAAUAAAAGCUUCACUUAUAUGUGCAAACUGAGUUGCAAUAUUUUCAUGCAUUCUACUUAUUAUAAUAUUUUGGCUUUAUAUUUUAUAAUCUAUGAAGGUUCCUCAUAUAUACAUGUGUCAUAUGUGCAAAAAUCAAGGGAAGUAAAAAUGGAUGACAUAUACAUAUACAACAUGUACACCUUGUCUGUUUUGUUAGCCACAUUUCAGAUUAAGCAAUGCCGAGGACAACUUUGUUUUGAAGAAGGGGAGGAUGAUGAGGACAUGACUACCUUGGAUAAGACCAAAAAUAUUGCAUACAUGCAUAUUUGUCAGGUGAUUUCUAGUGCAAACUAUUCAAUAAUCUAUUUAUGUUAUCCAGAACAAAAAUACUUCACACAGUUUUGUGUUUUGUCUAAUUGCAGGUGUAUGGGACAUUUGUACAAUCCGCAUAUGAAGAUAAGGGAAAAGGAAAAGUUUAGGUGCUGUUCAAAAAGUCCUCUCACGUCACUUUUGGGCCAAGAGAAGAUAGAGUCCAAGUCUCUCACGUUCUGGAUUCAGAUUCGGACUGCACAGACAUACCUGACUCAAAACACAAACAACGUUUUCAUACGAACAUCAAACUGGGUGAUUCUUUUUUUGUUGGAAACUAGAUUUCGUGCACUUUCCAAUCCAACUGGAUUCGCCUUCAAAUUCGUCCGGAGCGUAUAGUUAUGGACAAAAAAAUCUGAUGCUGCAGCAGAAUCCGAGUUAAACUACAAGUCCAAAGGUGUUACAUCACCUCCACUUGGGCCCAUUGGCCUUGUACGACCUAGGGUUAGUUUUAGGCUGUCUUGGGAAGUCCUCCCACCUCCUUGGCCGCCACCCCUUGCUCCUAUAUAAGUAGAUCCAUCUAGUAGCUUUUCCCUUGGGAUUUGUUUAGUUAAAAGUUAGCCAUUGCAACUUCGGGUACUUCAUUUGUGUCCAAUGACCAGACCAAGACCGCUUACGGAUCCCCACCUUUAUCAAUACUUCAUAUAUACUCGCAAUAUUCAGAUUGCUCUUAUCAUAUUCUUGCUUGUUCUUCGAUUGCUUGCAGGAAUAGACCUUCGUGGUUAGGUUGAUUGUGCUCCAGGGUGGUCAAUAACCCUUUCGAAGUUGGUUUAGCGAUUGCUAAGGCGCAGCGUCGUGCAUGUUUGUAGUCGGAUCGUCAAAUUUAUCUUCACUAAAUCGAUAGUUAUCAUCUCAUCGAAAGAUCGAGACACCCCGCCUCUAUCAAGAACAAGCAAGAAACUAAGAUUGCAAUCUGGAUAUUGCGAAUAAUAGAGGAAAGCUUUAUUAAUGAAGGUGGGGUUUUGAGACGCCUUUGUCUGGUCGUUGAACACAAACGAAGUACGCAAAGUUGCAGCUAUGGCGAACUUUUAAUCUAAACAAAACCCAAAGUCUAAACGGUGCCCUAAGGGCUGUAUAUAUGGAGGAAGAGGGGUAAAUUUCGUGGCCCUUAGUGGAGGGGUCCGAAACCAACCCUAUCUCUUGUUUCCCCACACAUACGGACACUAAAAAUAGCCUACACUUAUGUAUUUCAAAAUUAUAUGGGCCUGGCCCAAUAAAAAGGUGACACAUCACCUAGAAUAGCCUCUGGACAAAAUUUAUAAAGUGACAUCUUGUAUAUUUUGUCCAAGGCUUCAUGCUCUCAUUAUGGUGCUUCAAAGUCCUGAAAUCAUCACUUGCAACUCCGUUCUUGUUCCCCUUGCGCAUGCCAUCAUCUCCGUGCUUGGUCUUGCUCCAAUGUUCAUCCUUCUCCAAGCUUGGCCCUUCAUUUGUAAGCAAAACAAAUGUAUCCAAUUUAGGCAGCAUCAUAUUCUCAUGAGCAUUAGAAUCAUUACCAAGAAACAAAAGUACCUGGUAAUUUAAUUGGCAUGCACGAGCUCUAGUAAUUGAUCCAGUAUGUAUAGCAGCAGGGGAUGUGGGUGUAACAAUGGUAUUGAUGUCCUUGUCAUCCUCCUCUUCUUGAAAUGAAGUCGUCCUCGACGGAAGUUCAUCUUCCUCUCCCAAAUAAGGAUUCAAAUCUGCAAUGUUAAAAGUGGGACUAACCCCAAAAUCCGCAGGCAGCUCAAGUUUGUAUGCAUUAUCAUUUAUUUUCUCUAACACCUUAAAAGGUCCGUUAGCAUGUGGUAACUCUCAAUAGCUUCAAUCUUGGUUUUGUCAACUUCAAUUCCCUAUGGAGUAACAACAUAGCCAAGAAAAGAUACUCGGUCGGUGCAAAAGGUGCACUUCCCAAGGUUACCAAACAAACAUGCAUCACGUAGAGCAAUAAAAACAUGUUCUUCCAAAGAUCUUCUAUAAAUCAAUAUGUCAUCAAAGUAAACUACCACAAAUCAUCCAAUGAAAGCACGUAAAACUUCGUUCAUUAAUCUCAUGAAAGUACUAGGUGCAUUAGUUAACCCAAAAGGCAUGACUAACCACUCAUAUAAUCCAAACUUAAUUUUAAAGGCUGUUUUCCACUCAUCUCCCAAUUUCAUACGAAUUUGAUGGUAUCCACAACGCAAAUCAACUUUGGACAAUAUUGUAGAGCCACUCAAUUCAUCAAGCAUAUCAUCUAGCCUAGAAGUAGGAUGACGAUAACGAAUAGUAAUAUUAUUAAUGCCUCUACAAUCAACACACAUACGUGAUGUACCAUCCUUUUUCGGCACUAGAAUAAUAGGAACAGCACAAGGACUAAGGGAUUCGUGUAUAUAACCUUUGCCGAGCAGCUCCUGUACUUGACGCAUAAUCUCCUUUGUCUCCUCUGGAUUGGUACAGUAUGGUGCAUGGUUGGGUAAUGAUGCACCGGGAAUUAAGUCAAUCUGUUGCUCAAUCCCUCGAAUGGGAGGUAAUCCAGGUGGCAUGUGUUGUGGAAAGACGUCAGCGAACUCCUGCAAAAUGUUAGUGACAGCAGGAGGCAAAUAGGAAGGCACGUUCUCGAAUGAAAAUAAUGCCUCUUUGCACAUAAAAGCAUAGCAAACAGAUUUGCUUAAAUCUAGCUCAUCAAUAUCAGAUUUAGUGGCAAGUAAACAUGCACUUUUCAAUUUAAUUUCAGAAGCAACACUAGAUGGUUUACUAUUAGGCUUCAUUUGUUGCUCAAAUUCUUUUGCCACAAUCUGAUUUGCACUCUUAUUUUUCUCCUGUUUGGCUUUAUUAGCUCUAUUAAUAUCAUCUUUCAAAAUAGAAUCAGGAGUGAUAGGAAGCAAAGUAAUAUUUUUAUCCUUAUGAACAAGAGUAUACUUAUUGUUUCUACCAUGGUGUACAGAAUUUUUAUCAAAUUGCCAUGGUCGACCAAGUAAUAAGGAACAUGCUUGCAUAGGUACCACAUCACAAUCAAUAUAAUUAGCACAUGUAGAGAUAUUAAAUGCACACGAACAGUACGUGUUACCUUGCCGCUGUUGUUGAACCAUUGGAUGCAGUAAGGAUGUGGAUGUGGUCUUGUGGUGAGAGAUAGCAUUCCACCAUCUCCAUGCUAGCCAAGUUGUUGCAGCUCCCCUGUCUAUGAUGACGUGCACAGAACGUUCCUUCACGACUCCCUUUGUAUGGAAUAAAUUGUGCCUCUGAUUUUGCUCAGCUUGUGUGACCUGCACACUCAAAACACGUUGAGCAACUUAACAUUCAUACCUGUCAGCGUCUUCAGGAGCCAUGUAUUGUGUCUCAUGAUCAGAAUCAUCUCCACCAUGUUCUUCAUGUGUAAUAAGAGCCAAAGUCUCCUCAUCAUAGUCACUAGCGGACUCAUACCCACCAUCCUCAGUAGCAAUCAUCACACGCUGAGAUUUGCAUUCUCUCGCAUAAUGACCUCUUCCCUUACAACGACGACAAAUAAUAUCACUUGUGUGCCCUGUUGAUACCAUGGAAGAAGAAGAACUUUGUGCAGGCCCGGCAAGUGUGCUCUUGGCAGAUAGUGGUGGUUGUGCCUGCUUUCUUGUAUCACGGCUUGAGGUGGCAGCUGAUAGAGGUGCUGGUGCAGUGGAAGUAGAGGAUGCACGCGGCGUCCAUGAUGAAGGUCGACCUGCAGAAAAGUUAGUUCGCGCCAAUGCUUGUCGAUCCUGCACUUCACGUUCAGCUUUACAAGCAAGAUGGAAUAAAGGAGCGAUAUUAGUAUACUCCUUAUACUCUAGAAUGGUCUGAAUCUCUCUAUUUAAUCCACCCAUAAAACGUGCAAGCAUAGCUUCAUUCUCCUCAACAUUACCACAUCUAAUCAUGCCAGUUUGUAAUUCCUAAUAAUAUUCUUCUACAGAAUUUUUCCCUUGUCUUAAACGCUGCAAUUUUUGAAGCAAUUCACGUUGAUAAUAUGGUGGAACCCAACGAGUACACAUAGCAGUUUUCAAAGCAGCCCAAGUAGUUGGAAUAGGAUAUAAUCUACAAUGUUCAGACCACCAUACACAUGCAAAACUAGUGAAAGCACAAACAGCAGCAGCAACCCAUCUCUCCUCGGGAUAUUGUAAACAUGUAAAACGUUGUUCAGUUUCUAACUCCCAAGUAAGAUAUAUAUCAGGAACAUAUCUACCCUCAAAUGGUGGAAUAUUCAAUUUCAGUUUAGGAAUAUGGUCAUUAUCUUGUACCUAAGGUGGUGGUGCAGGCCUACCAUUGCGAAUAUAUACCUGAGGUCGACCUGCUGGUGGUGGUGCUGGUGGCUACACGUAGUUCUGAUUUUGAUCAACCUCAUCCUCGUAAUAGUCCUCCACUUCUGCAAUAGCCACAGGAGCUAGAGAAGCACCAACAACAGUAAUAGUGGCACCAGAAUUUUGUCCUGGCUCAAUAGGAACACGCUGUGCUCGCCCUACUAUAUCGUGGCGUAGAACUGGUUGUGGGAGAUGUUUGAGUAAUUCAUCAAACUUGGCAUCCAACUUGGUGUCAAUUGUCUUCUCAAUGUCAUCCAUCCUCUCCAAUGCCUUUCCAAAGCUGGCCAUCACGUCUUCCAUCUGUUGACCCAACUUUUGAUGAAACUUAUCAUGAAGCUCCUUGUUCGUCAUGUUCUCCCAAUCAAUCUCGUCGGCUUGUGUUCCUGCCAUAGUUAGCAGCAAUAGAAAUAGACAAGAAUAUGAUCCUACAGACUAUUAGAAUAUGGUGGUGGUGGGGUGUUACAAAUCUGUCAAGCAAAUCUCAGAUUCUUACCAGUUCUUACCCUGCAGCAGGUGGUGAGCGGCAACCAUUGUAGUCAAAACUCUCAAAGCUUGGAUAGAGCGAUUACCAGGGAGAGUCAAACACAUGACGUAGAUGUAUGUGGAGCUGGGCAUGCUUAUAAUAUGGGAGCAAGAAGGGUCAGCAAUAAUCAAUUCAGAGAUGCAAAGUUGAAUAAACGGUCAACGACGGUACUGUGCUGGUCCUAGGCUAGACCAUGCUAGAGACGCGAGCUUAGAACACUAACAAAAUCACGGCGCGACACGUAAUCAAGGAAGGAGCACACUCUAAUUUUUUUUUUGAUUUUUUUCACUUUUUUUGCGUUUUUUUCCUCUUUUUUUUGUCUGCAACAAUUUGUUUUUCGAAAAAGUCUACAAAUGGUCUAAAAACUACCUAGCCAGAAUUUGUUUUUAAACUGGAACUAUUUCUCUUGUACGGGUGGCACUGAUGUUGGGAAGUCCGACUUGGUCACGACUCGGAGUAAGGCGUGAUCUGGAAAUCGAAAACAAACCAACAAAUAUUGGACUCGGACUAGGACUGGUAGCGGAGAUGAAUCUGGUGGAAACUCAGACUUGUGGCGGAUAUAUGUAGGGCGGUGGAACACGGACUCGUGGCGAAUCUGUGAUGGAGGUGGACUCGGAUUAUCGUGAUGGCGGUGAAUAUGUGGUAUAUGGCAGCGGUGAUGACGAUGAUGGUAUAUGGCACCAGUGAUGACGAUGGUGGUAUAUGGCAGCGGUGUUGACGAUGGUGGUAUAUUGUAGCGGUGAUGACAAUGGUGGUAUAUGGCAGCGGUGACAAUGAUGGUGGUAUAUGGCAGCGGUGAUUAUGAUGAUUCGGCGGCGGCGUGACAACUUGUGAACAGAACUCGAAACUCUAAAGGACUAGACACUAAGACCAUCAACUCGACACGAUGAUGCAAUCGCAAAUUCAACAAAGCAAAAGACUGAAAAGAAUAUGCAAUGGCUCAGACUAGUUCGGAUAGGAUGAAUUAACCCUAAUUUUUUUGUGGCUUUUUCGUGGACUAUAGGUAUGAUAACAGACUCGAUCUAAACUAUGAAAAACUGUAAAAUCUCACCGAGCAACCUGGAAAUCUGAUACCACUUGAUAGAGGCAAAGGUGUCCCGUCUUUCGAUGAGAUGGUGGCUAUCAUUUUGGUGGAAGUCGACUUUGACGAUCCAUCUACGAACGUGCGAGGAUGUCGCGCCUUAGCAAUCGCAAAACCAAGUCCGAGAGGUUAUUGACCACGCCGGAGCACGAUCAACCUGACCACGAAGGUCUAUUUCCUGCAAACAAACGAAGAACCAGCAAGAAACUAAGAUUGCAAUCUGGAUAUUGCGAAUAAUAGAGGAAAGCUUCAUUAAUGAAGGUGGGGUUCUGAGACGCCUUUGUCUGGUCGUUGAACACAAACAAAGUACGCGAAAUUGCAGCUAUGGCGAACUUUUAAUCUAAACAAAACCUAAAGUCUAAAUGGUGCCCUAAGGGCUGUAUAUAUGGAGGAACAGGGGGGAAUUUCGUGGCCCUUAGUGGAGGGGUCCAAAACCAACCCUAUCUCUUGUUUCCCCACACAUACGGACUCUAAAAAUAGCCUAUACUUAUGUAUUUCGAAAUUACAUGGGCCUGGCCCAAUAAAAAGGUGACGCAGCACCUAGAAUAGCCUCUGGACAAAAUUUAUAAAGUAGCAUCUUGUAUAUUUCGUCCAAGGCUUCAUGCACUAAUUGUGGUGGCUUCAAAGUCCUGAAAUCAUCACUUGCAACUCCGAUCUUGUUCCCCUUGCACAUGCCAUCAUCUCCGUGCUUGGUCUUGCUCCAAUGUUCAUCCUUCUCCAAGCUAGACCCUUCAUUUGUAAGCAAAACAAAUGUAUCCAAUUUAGGCAGCAUCAUAUUCUCAUGAGCAUUAGAAUCAUUACCAAGAAACGAAAGUACCUGGUAAUUUAAUUGGCGUGUGCGAGCUCUAGUAAUUGGUCCAGUAUGUAUAGCAGCAGGGGCUGUGGGUGUAACAAUGGUAUUGAUGUCCUCAUCAUGCCAUGAAUGCCUUUUUGUUCUUGGCUUUCACGCGAAUGAAUUACAGCAUGCCAUCUGGCAAAAACAAGGAGAAUAAGGAAUAUGGCCGCUGGAUUUUCUUCAAUUUACGGCCAAAUAAGAUUGCCCGGAUCAUAGAGUAUCUGUAGAAAGCUACGUUUGUCCCUACCAGGGGGGCUAAUGUCCAUGAGCAACAUAGUCUCACAAAUUUCCUUCAAAAGGAAGUGACAAUGGGUUCUGAAACUUGUCCGAAAAACAGCGGCGAAUGAUGUUAUUUGACUUUCAGUGCCAAAAAGUCCUUCUUAAGGCCGAAUUUGAGGAUACACCGGGCCUCCUAGCACAAGCAGGGAGUAUUUUCUGGAUUCGCAUGCUCACCGCAUGUAGUUUGAGUACUUGUGGGUCCGACACGGACUCCGAAUGACAAAGUUAUGACCGUUUUAGUGAACAUCGGUCCAUUCUAUGGCAGUCCUUGAAAGUACUUCAUCUUCCCGUGACGCUUUUUGCCUGAUCGCCCUGAAAUUUCUUGUCCUCCAUAGUGCAGAUAUUGUUUCCACAUAUAUAUUGACCGAUGCCAGGAAGGCCCUUUUGUUCUUGGCUUUAGCGCAUGAAUUACAACAUGCCAUCUGGCGACAACAAGGAGAAUAGGGAAUAUAGCUGCUGGAUUUUCUUCAAUUUACGGCCAAAUGAGAUUGCCUGGAUCAUAGAUUAUCUUUAGAAAGCUAGGUUUGUCCCUACCAGGGGGGCUAAUGUCUAUGAGCAACAUAGUCUCUCAAAUUUCCUUCAAAAGGAAGUGCCAAUGGGUUCAGAAACUUGUCCGAAAAAUAGCGGCGAAUGAUGUUCUUUAACUUUCCGGGCCAAAAAGUCCUGCUUAAGGCCAAAUUUUAUGGUACUUUGGGCCUCCAGGCGCAAGCCGGGAGUAUUUUCUGGAUUCGCACGCUCGCGGCGAGCAGUUUGAGUUCUUGUGGGCCCGACACGGACUCCGAAUGACAAAGUUAUGACCUUUUUAGUGAAUAUCAGCCCAUUCUAUGGCAGUCCUUGUGAUGAGGACAUCAAUACCAUUUUUACACCCACAGCCCCUUCUGCUAUACAUACUGGACCAAUUACUAGAGCUCGCGCAUGCCAAGUAAAUUACCAGGUACUUUUGUUUCUUGGUAAUGAUUCUAAUGUUCAUGAGAAUAUGAUGCUGCCUAAAUUGGAUACAUUUAUUUUGCUUACAAAUGAAGGGCCUAGCUUGGAGAAGGAUGUACAUUGGAGCAAGAACAAGCAUGGAGAUGAUGGCAUGCGCAAGGGGAACAAGAAUGGAGUUACAAGUGAUGAUUUCUGGGCUUUGAAGCCACCAUAACGAGUGCAUGAAGCCUUCAAAGAAAUAUACAGGAUGCCACUUCAUAAAUUUCGUCCAGAGCCUAUUCUAGGUGCUGUGUCACCUUUUUAUUGUGCCAGGCCCAUGUAAUUUUGAAAUACAUAAGUAUAGGCUAUUUUUAGAGUCCGUAUGUGUGGUGAAACAAAAGAUAGGGUUGGCUUUGGACCCCUCCACCAAGGGCCACAAAUUUCCCCCCUCUUCCUCCAUAUAUACAGCCCUUAGGGCACCGUUUAGACUUUGGUUUUUGUUUAGAUUAAGGUUCGCCAUAGCUGCAACUUCGCGUACUUCGUUUGUGUUCAACGACCAUACAAAGACGUCAUAGAACCCCAGCUUCAUCAAUCAAGCUUUCAUCUUAUAUUCACAAUAUCCAGAUUGCAAUGUCGGUUUCUUGCUUGCUCUUCGUUUGCUCGCAGGAAACAGACCCUUGUGGUCAGGUUGAUCGUGCUCCGGCGUGGAAAAUAACCCCUCGGAAGUUGGUUUAGCGAUUUCUAAGGCGCGAUGUCUCGCACGUUCGUAGUCGGAUCGUCAAGGUCGACUCCCACAGAAAACAAUAGCCACCAUCUCAUCGAAAGACGGGACACCUUUGCCUCUAUCAAGUGGUAUCAGAUUUCCAGGUUGCUCGGUGAGAUUUUAUAGUUUUUCAUAGUUUAGAUCGAGUUUGUUCUUCAUACCUAUAGUCCACGAAAAAGCCACAAAAAUUUUAGGGUUAGUUCAUCCUAUCCGAACCAGCCUGAGCCAUUGCAUAGUCUUUUCAGUAUUUUGCUUUGUUGAAUUUUCGGUUGCAUCGUCGUGUCUAGUUGCUGAUCUUAGCGUCUAGUCUUUUAGAGUUUCAAGUUAUGUUCACGGGUAUUCAUGCCGCUGCCGCACCAUCAUUAUCCUCUGCUAUAUACCACCGCCACCACACCAGAUUCAUCAUCCGCUACCAUAUACCACCACCACACCAGAUACAUCGGUGCGAGUCCAUAUACCAACACUGAUCCGACUCCAUAUACCACCAUCGACCCACAACUAUAUACCACCACCCCUCCGAGUCCAUCUCAUAUUAGGUUAACUUUCGAGAUCCAUCUGUUUCCAGAUUUGUGUUUUCCUUGUCUGAGUAGGUUUCGGAUUCCAGCAAUCUUUUGCCGUCUGUAGAAGAGGUUGGUUUCCAAAAAAGAAACCACCCUUCGUUUAGGCCCCAAAUUUUCCGAAAACGUACUUGACAAAAAAAUUCUGGCUACCCUAUUUUUAGGUGUUUCCAAGCGUAUUGAGACAAUCGCUGUUAUAGAAUGUUUUUUGAGUCGUUUCCAGUUUUUGGGUCCAGGCAGUCAAAAAAAAAUUGGUCGCAAAAAUUUCGUGUCUAUCCUGUUAUCUUGACUUGGGAAGAGUUUUGAGACACUCGCCAUUAUAGUGAUUUUUGGCAAGAAGAAAAGAGGAGCGCAAAAAAAGAGCAAAAAAAAA